GCAGCUUAAUUCUGCAGCGAAUCUCCACCGUCCGAUCUUAAUCAUCCUCCGACGAUGCCGAUCCGGAACAUUGCCGUUGGCCGACCCGAGGAGGCGUACCACCCGGACGCCUUGAGGGCGGGUCUCGCCGAGUUCAUUUCCACGCUGAUCUUCGUCUUCGCCGGCGAGGGCUCCGGCAUGGCCUUCGCCAAGCUCACCCACGGGGCCGCGACCACGCCAGCAGGCCUCGUCGCCGCCGCUCUAGCCCACGGAUUCGGCCUCUUCGUCGCCGUCUCCGUCAGUGCGAACAUCUCCGGCGGACACGUCAACCCCGCGGUCACUUUCGGCGCCUUCGUCGGCGGCAAUAUCUCCCUCCUCCGCGGCAUCCUCUAUUGGAUCGCCCAGCUCCUCGGGUCCGCCGUCGCGUGCGGUCUCCUCAGGUUCGCAACCAACUACCAGGUAAUUUUAUCACUUUCUGGCCCUUUUUGAACUAUAAGUUUCUCGUUAAGUUCGUUAAUAUAUCAUUUUAUAUUAAAAGUGUGACUAACGGGUCUUGAUUAUGUGCUUCGCAGACUACCUCAGCAUUUGCUCUCUCCGAGGGGGUUGGGGUAUGGAACGCGUUCGUUUUCGAGAUCGUGAUGACGUUUGGGUUGGUGUACACGGUGUACGCCACAGCCAUUGACCCGAAGAGAGGCAGCGUGGGAACAAUCGCGCCGAUCGCGAUCGGUUUCGUAGUUGGCGCGAACAUUUUGGCGGGUGGGGCUUUCGAUGGAGCAUCCAUGAACCCGGCCGUUUCAUUCGGGCCGGCUUUGGUGAGCUGGAACUGGCACAACCACUGGAUCUACUGGGCCGGGCCUUUGAUCGGCGGUGGGCUUGCUGGGCUUAUUUACGAGUUCGUCUUCAUCGGCAACUCUAGCCACGAGCCACUCCCGACCGCUGAUUACUAAUUAAUUAAGCUUUAAUUAAGCCCUAAUUAAGAUUCAAUCAAAUGAUAUGCAUGCAUGAUGAAUCUUCACUUGUUUUUAUGAGGGUUUUGUACCUUUGAAUUCUUGUGUUUUAUUUCAUCAAGAAAGAUCAUGAUCGUUCAUCAUGAGUUCGUUGCCACCGUUGAUUGUAUUUGUUUCGCGAUUUGCAUGCUCCGGUUGUAUGAUUAAUUUAAUUUAUCCUUUUUUAUUAUUAUAAAUUUUCUGUAAUUUAUUUCUUGAAGAUACUCUUCUUCUCACUUCUUUUUACUGUUUUUAAUUUGGACCUACGCGGCCACGCGUCAUAUGAUAGAGAUAGGGUUGGGUUGGAUUAAACAGUUAAAUCUAGAAUGUGCUUGAUUUUGGUAGUUUUUACCUACCCCCUAAAGUGAAUAACUACUGUUCCUGCAUGUGAUUGAUUUGGCCCUGCCGACACCAACCAUUCGCCAAUAGUAGUAGUAGUUAAUCGGGGGAAGAUACAUGCAUGGGUAAUGUUAAGAAUCAUAAUUUUAGACCAGCAAUAAAUUACGUAUAUCAUGUCACACUAAAUAUUUUGAAUAAUGAAUAAUGAGGACAUUCUUUUUUAUAAACGUUGGAUUUGAAUUUAGAAUUUCUUUCAAUGUUUUAGUCGGUAACUAAGUAGGUUGCUGAUAUGUAUCAUUAUCACGUGCUGGAUAAUAUGAUUAAUUACUUACAAUACAAUCUAAUGAUUUGUUUAGAAGAUUAAUUUCCUCGUCCAUGAAGUUACUAAUUAGAAGUAAUUAAACCAAGCUAGCUAAAAUAAAAUACUCUGGUAGAGAACUAUUUGACAUGUGACUACUAGGAGCCUAUAUGACACACAUAAAUGCAAAUAUAUAAAUGCAAAUAUUAUAGGCAAUAUUAUUAUUAUUUAUGCAUGCGUAUUCAAUCAUGUGGUGUGGGUCUUGGAAAAGGAAUUUUGAAAUUGAUUGAUUUCAAUAUGUUUUUGGGUGGUUGGGUUUUCAUGUGAAGAGCACGAGAGGUGUGUGUUUCACGUUGAAAGACUGCUAGAAGAAGAGCCCAGACUACCCAUAUGAAAUGAAUGUGAUCAACUUAAAUAUUAGAGGAAUGGCAUGACCUACUUUCAUUUCAUAGAGAUUCCUCCUCGUCGUCAUCAUCAUCUCGUUCUCAUUCAUGAAAAAAGAAAAAAAGAAGAUGAAGAGCACAUGAUAAUUUUCUGGACCAUACUUUUGUAUCUUGUCCUUUUUAAUCUGCAUCUUUUGGCCACCUUCGUGGCCCGGUGCUAUCGUUUUCAAACCCGAAAGCUGCCCCGCUCUCUCUCUCUCUCUCUCGUAAAUGUUCUGGUUCUCACUGUGCAAACAUUGGCCAAGACGUGGUUUCAAGCGGACCGCACAACUUGCAAUGCUACCUUUCAAUUUCAUAGGAUCUUCUAAAGAAGAUUUGGGGUCCCAUGGCUCACCGUCCAUUCUGGUUUUCUAAUUUAUUAUCACACGGUUUAUAAAUAGUUUUUACUUUUCAAAUGGUAAUGUUGAUUUCUUGCCAAACUUUAUGUUACCACACAAAUAUUUAUAUGCAUAUUGACAGACUAAGAAUCCGAAUCGCGCAUUAUCAAAUAAAAAUUAAUAUGAUCAAUAUCAAAACUCACGUCACACAUUUAAAUAAGAACCAACAUGAUUAAUGAUCGAGAUUGAUAUUCUCAUGUUGUGUAAACGAGUGAAGAAGAAACUCACUGAAGCACACAAUACAAUAUUAGUGAAACUUUGCAGUGGAGUGAUUGAUUGACGACACAAAGCUGGUGGAAAGUAAUUUUUUUUUUAUUCUGACCCAAAUGAAGCCUUUGGCUCUUAGCCAGUUAUGUCGAACCAGUUGCAACUGGAGACUGCACCAUGGCUUGGCUUCUCACGUCGUUUUGACGUGACCUGUCCCUACCCAGUUUGCUAGAAUUAUUAACAAAACGUGAGAGAAGUUUGGCAGAGGUUGGGGAUGAUGAUGAUAAUGAACAAAUGUCUGUUUGUGUGUAGAACCGAAUACGGCCUUCAUUUCUUGCUCUCAGAAUACAAUAAUACUAGAGAAUUUGAAAUAUUGAAAUAUUGAGGGACUUUAUAUGAUUAAGGAAGCUGUCUGGAGUACUGAGUAUAAUGGUUUGUGAUAGGUGCCUGAGUUGUUAUGGUGGGAAAAUUAUUGUGGGGGCAACAACAAUUUAAAUUAUUCUAGUGUUCUGUUUUUUUUUUUUAAAGUUAGAAAAGGGAUGGGGAAAAACUCACACACACGAGUACUGUAGGGGUAACGCUUGAGUCAAUCCAACACACACCCCAUAAGUGCUAUAUAUCAUAGUUUAACCAAUUAAAAUAAAAACUAGACAGAUGACAUGUUUACUUAUUUAAAUUAUACAUGGGUAUUACGAGACUUUCACAUUAAAAUUCAUAAUUUAAUAUCCAUAAAACCAUGAAUUAAAUUGACUAGGAGAGAAUGGUCGAUUGGAGAGGUGGAGCCACUCAUGGGCUAGUAGUGACCCUGCCCCUUGCCCCUUGCCCCUUGCCCCCGAAAAUAUUGCUAGAAAACUCUCAUAUUUACAUAAUCGGCCCCUCUAAACAUGUGUAUGGAUGUGAAAUUUGUUAAACUUGUGUAAAAAUCAAUCCAACUACAGCUUGUUAUUUAUAUUUUGGCUCCCCAAAAUUUAAAAUCUUAGCUCCUUAGCUCCGGCCAUGCACGAUCCCCGACCUAUUCAUUGUCCUUUCUACUUUCCCACUUCAUGAGAUGACUUCCCAUAUUCCGAGUAAGUAAACAUGCCAUAAAUGCAAAUAGUCGCCAACCUACAGCUCGAGAGUGCAAGGCGAGAUCAAGAUUCGAGCUGUAGUCCGAAUGUGGGACUUAGGACUCAAGUCCAAAGCUUGGAUUAUGGGCCUGUGGUCUUAGACCUCUGAGCUCGGACCAGGCCACCAAUGAUUCUUGUUUCCUCGCUCAGAAUCUGAUGAACAUUGGUUGAAAGUGCCACUCUAAAAAUGGGCUAGGCUCUUCCAAUAACUGCAAGAGCAGAGGGGUGCCUCCAAACUCAGAUAGGCCCAAAUGAAUUAUUGUUGGGUUGGGUUGCUAUCACGUGGCCACGCAAGCAUAGACUUGAUAACGCUCACGUCAUUAACCACGUGGAUAUAUACAAAUGUCCUGAACCCCAAAGUUAGCCGACACGUCGUCAAACAACACCGCUGUUUUCUAAAAAAGCGUUUUUCUAAAUUCUAAAUACUGUGUGCCUGCCAAACGACAAACAGCAUGUUGAUUUCGGGACCAGGCGUUUUCCAUAUCCGGAGACCCGCGUCAGCAGAGCCCAACAAACCUAUCCUAUCCGAAUCCAAUACGACUCUCAUUAUUUCCAUGAACACAUAAAAAUAUCCCAAAAAGAGUAAUUUUCUCUGCCUAAAAUGCCCUCCUAAGAGCAACUCCACCCAUUUGCCCUUAGCCAUGGCAAGGGGGGAGCUAGGGCAGCCACUAUUCACGUGAAUAGUGGUUGCCCUUGCAAAUAGUAUUUUGAGUUUCCACCCAUUGCCAUGGCUAAGGGCAAUUACUAUUCAUUUUUUUGUUUUUUCACAACUUUUUUUUACUUAAAUAAUUAAUUUGGAUAAUAUUUUCGGAUAAGAUUUUUGGGUUCCUACGUGUCAAUACUAUUCAUAUCGGAUAAGAUUUUAUUUUAUUAGUUGUAUUGGUUGGUAUUCAUUUAAAAAAAAAAAUUAGGAUUUGGUGUUAAAAGUGAAGAGUAUUGGUUGGUAUUUAUAGACACGGGCGGACCCAUAAUUUUUUUAGCGGAGGUGCAAUAUUGGCUAAGUAUGAAAAAUGGUUUUUCGGAAUAAUUAUUUUCUCAAGAUAAUUUUUGGCGGCUUUUAUUCCUUACACAUCAAAUAAGAAAACUUGAUUUUAUGGGAUUUUAAUAUGAAGUAUAUAUUGACUUAAUGAGCCAUCAUUUUUAGCCUAAAUCGUAUUUUGCACUAAAACCGAUUUUUCAUAUUUUGAUUUGGUGGGAAUUUGAUUUUCUAGUAUUUUUAUUUGAAUCCAAAUGGGGGGUACUUCCUUAUUUACAUUGUAAACUUAAGUAAAUGGAGUAAUAUAAAAAUAAAUUAAAGUAAAAGGACAAAGACAUUUACUUAAAUGUUGAAAAUGGAAAUAAGGUAUAGAGGAAAAUGUUGAGUAAAGAGUGAAUAAUAGUAGAAGUAUAAUGAAAUGUAUGAGGAUUGGUGUUGAAAGUGAAGGGUAUUGAUAGGUAUUUAUAGAAAAAAAAUAUCAGAAUUUUUUAGAAUUUUUUAAAAAUAUUUACGAUUUUUUUUCAUAUUUUUAUUGCCCAAAAAAGCCUCAGCCGUUGGAUUAAUUUGGAGAAGCAGAUCGGAAGGCUGGGGAGGCGACACGUGGCAGCGUACCUUGGACCUGGCGCGCUGACGUCAGCGUGACGCGAGGCUGACGUCAGCAACACGCGAGUUGGACCUCGGGCUGGUCUCGCCUUCGGGCUGGCCCGAGUUGGUGGGUCCCACACCACCCCCGGGCCUGGGCUGUACGCUGGAGCGACUUUUUUUUUUUUUCCUGCCCUCGCCUCGGGCUGGGCUCCCUCGCUGGAGCUGCUCUAAUUUUGCCUUGUACAACUAACUCACUCAGUUCAACUCGUAAAAUCACACACCUCCUUUCCAUUCCCGCCAACCCAUUUAGACCUGCACAACCAUUACUCAUGUAACAAAUCUUUUCCGUCUUUGAUGUGAAUUAAGUCAGUUAAUUAAGAUAAUAUAUCCGUCUCGUUACAUUUGAAUUUGAUUUUCCUUUUCAUUGAAAAUGAAAAAGCUUCUUCACAAUUAUGAAAAUCCCAAUCUCUUCAACCACCCCCUCACACCCGAACACCCAAACGACGGCGUAUUGGGGUCCCUUGGAAGCCAAAUAAUUGAAAGAUAUCAACUUCGAAAUCAUAUGAUUAGGACCCCUAAUCAGUUGGGUACAAUUAUUACAUUUAUUUAGGAUUAGAUUAGACCGGCAAACGCUGGUGUGUCGCCUCGUCAGCACUUUCAUUAUUCCCGCAAAGGAAAUAUCAAUCCAGUUGAUAAAAGCAUCUCAUUUUCUCAGGGGGCUUUCGUCAGUUUUGUUGCUUACUUGAAAACUUGAAAGCAUUGCAUAGGUAGGCCUUUGGCCUUCCUCUCUCUCCUUUUAUCUUCGCCAUUUUCACAAUUUUCUUCAAGCUUCAAUCUUUUUCUUCCGGGUAUCAUAGUAGUUAAGUAGCAUUUGAGAAUGGAGAGCGGAUCCGAGACCCAGAUGGAUUUGAACAACAACACUUCUCAUCAGAAUGAUCACUCUAUCAUGGAGAUGGGAUCUGGGAAUUUCGGGUAUUCAUCUAUAAAUUUGUUUUUGUUAAAAAAGAAUUGAUUUUUUUGAGCUGAAGUUUUGAUUUUUGUUGUUGCGGGUAAAUGAAUUUAAAGGUGCGCCCAUUAUAGACGGAGGUGCAAGAUCAGAGCACCUUGCUGUGAUGAGAUAUUCGAUUGCAGGCAUUGCCAUAACGAAUCCAAGGUCAGUUUUUUUUUUGGAAUGGUUUUUGUUUUAACUUUGAUUAAUAUUGAUAAGCAUGUUAUAAUUUGGGUGUCUUUGUUUUUGGAGCAGAAUACAUUGGAAGUUGAUCCUCUUGAUCGCCAUGACGUUCCUCGCCAUGAUGUGAAAAGGGUUAGUUGCUUUUACUGUCUCUGAUUCAUAGCAGCUUAGUUUUAAAAAAGGAAUGGGAAAUGGAAUUAGAAACUGUGGCCUUUUUAUUUUUCAAGUAGAUUUGAUUUUAUCCGGAUUUUGCUGGAUAUGAAUUUAAUUUUAUUUACUUUCCAUUUAUAUCUCCUUGUGCUGUCUGAGCGUUAAAGGGUUCACAUCAAAAGAUCUGAACUUUAUGGAUAAGGUUCAGAGCAUCUAUCUUUUGUUUCUCUAUGGACUGUUGAUUACUUGCACAUAUUAUGCCAACUUGAAAUAGUCAUUUUCUUUUCUUUCCUUUUAUUUUCUCCCCUCUUCCUACCCUUAUCAUUUUAAGUUUAUGUUGAAUAAUUAAAAAGUUUCACUUUGUUUGCCUUGUAUGGUUCAGGUCAUCUGCUCCUUGUGCAACACAGAACAAGAUGUAAGCCUUCUUGCAGAAAACUCUGAUGAUUGUAUUAUUAAUUAUAAAUUGAAGGAUGAGGUUAAUGACUUCUCUAGUUCUGAUAUCCUUUCAGGUUCAACAGCACUGUAUCCAAUGCGGCGUUUGCAUGGGGAACUAUUUUUGCUCCAAAUGCAAGUUCUUUGAUGAUGAUGUAAGCCUCUGAGUUCUUACCUAAUAAAAAAAGGGAGCUUCUUAAGUUCAUAUCCUCAUAAAUAUGAAACCCUGUUUCAAAUGCACUUUUUCUUAUUCUAAAAUUGGUAGGUUUCGAAAAAAACAGUUCCUUUGUGAUGAAUGUGUUAUUAGAAAUUCACUUUUUCUUAUUCUAAAAUUUGUAGGUUUCGAAAAAUCAGUACCAUUGUGACGAAUGCGGUAUCUGCAGGUUAGACACUUUUCUGCACGUUUUUGUUGUUCCCUUCAGUUGUUUGUCUUUUCGUUGUUUUUAAAUUUUCUUUUAAUAAAUACGCGUUACAUUUCAUUAUCUUAUGUCAGUAAAGCUUCUUCAUUGAUAAAACAUUCGCACGUGUCUAAGUUUGUUUUAAUUGGUAUUACAGAACCGGAGGCGAGCAGAAUUUUUUCCACUGUAACAAAUGUGGUAAGAUGUUAACCCUGUUUUUUCAUUAAUUUUUCAUCGUUUUAAUCAUUUUUUAUUUAUAAUAGUCUAAAUUGGAAUAUCUCUAUCUGGUUUUAGAAUGUUGUUACUCAAAAGUGUUGAAGGAUUCACACAAUUGUGUGGAGAAAGCAAUGCAUCAUAAUUGCCCUGUGUGCUUUGAGGUAAAGUUUGGAGUUUGCUAUGCCCAAGUAUUAUCCUGUUUUCUGCUUUAUGGUGCACCAACUCACAUCGGUUACUUGUGCAGUUUCUUUUCGACACAAGGGCAGACAUUACUGUCUUGCUAUGUGGACACACUAUACAUUUGGAAUGUGUUAAAGAGAUGGAGCGACAUUGCCAGUAAUUCCUUUUUUCUUCACUCUCUCUCUCUCUCCCUCUCUCUCUCUCUCUCUCUCUCUCUCUCUCUCUCUCUCUCUCUCUCUCUCUCUCUCUCUCUCUCUAUAUAUAUAUAUAUAUAUAUAUACAUACAUACAUAUACAUAUAAAAAGAUUAUCUGAUAUAAAUCGUUAGUAGUAAAUGUAAUGAAGAUAUAAAUCGUUAGUAUAAAGAGUAAUGAAACAAUAGCCCCAUAGUAAUUGUAUACAACUUUGCAGGUAUUCAUGCCCGGUUUGCUCAAAAUCAUAUCGCGAUAUGUCCCGUGUGUGGGAAAAACUUGAUCAGGAGGUAAAUCUAUGAUUCGAUGAUUCAAUGUAACGAUAUGAGUCACAUGACUGCCUGUCAUUUCUAGUUUACUAAUCGCUUUCAAAUUAAAUAUCAGAUUGCUGCAACUCCCAUGCCUCAAAUGUAUCAAAAUAAGAUGGUAAGUAUACAUAUAUGAUUACUAUCUUUGAUUUCUCCAACUAUUGGGUAAUUAAAUUCCGCAUACACUUUUUGUAUGGUUAGGUUUGGAUCCUCUGCAAUGAUUGCGGGCAAACAUCAGAGGUAAAUUUCCACAUUGUAGCACGUAAGUGCCUGAAAUGCAACUCCUACAAUACAAGGCAAACACAAGGAGGGCCAGCCUCAUGCUCAUCAAGGAUUACAGAUAUGGUGAGAUGAAUGACUUCAAUACAUCAAAAUUUGUGAUGUAUUACUUCCGAAAUUGUAUUACAAAAGGAAGCUUUAGUUGUGGCAAAGGAGGGAAAAUUAGUAGUGCCAGUCCCUUUACUAGUUUCUUUGUAGGUUUAAUUGUGCAAAACAUUGGCUCAUAUUUGAGCCAAUUUCUAUAUGCCAGUGGGUAGGGUCAGCAGGUUGUAUUUGAAAGUACGGGAAAACAUUGUAUGAAGCUUCAUCAAUGGAAAAUGUUUCAACAUAUAACAAAGAUAUCAUGAUAUCAAUUUGUAAUUCAAUUGCAAAUAGGUUUGCAACUUCAAAAGUACAUAUAAAUUGAAUGAAGAGACAAUGAAUUAGAGUGGAGCAAAACUGAAGACAAUCACUGACUUCCUGAGAUAGACUUGCCCACACAGCUUCUGAAGUUCAUAUAGAACUUUUCAAGAUGGGUAUCUUAAUCAACAUUGUGCAAGGACUAAUUAGUACACCGGAAAUGUGAAUUUCUUUUUCUUUUCCAAUCACGGAGGUCGUUAGUUUUUGAAAUUGACAAACGUUGAACCGUGGAGCUUGACCUCCCGGCCAUUGAGAGGUUGUACUGGUCUUGCAUUCAUCUCUGCAAACUGCAUUCAUGUUGAUCAACAUAAGGAGUUAAUAUGUGCUCCAGAUACUAUCAUUUCAAAGUUAAAUCAGAAGAACUCACUUCAGAAAGAUGGGUAGGUUACUUACAUCGAAAACGGCUUGUUGAAGCAACUUCACUUGUGCUAUUGAAACAGUAUGUACCUGAGGACAGUUUUUAAUUAGGGCAACUUCACUUGUGAUAUUGAACCAACAUGUGAAUUUACAGGAGUUGGAAAAAAUUUCCGGGCUGAUGAAGUUGGCUGUACCUGUUUGUUUAUGGUCCAAGUUACUCCUUCACUGCAAGGAGGGGUUGUGAAUGAUCCACUGUAUCUGUAAAAUUUCGAGCUAGCCUUUUUCAUCUUCCUCUUUUUCGGGUCCUGAAACCCGAGCUUAGCCUUCUUCAUCUUCCGAGGAUCAAUCACUCCCAGUUGUACCUCCUUCUCUACAUCCAUCAUCGACGCUAUCGCCUUUUUGACCUGAAAGUAGAAAUAACACCAUUGAUCUCCUAUAUCUGUCUUCCCUAAUUGAACCAAAACAAGUUUUUACCACAAAAAAUUUAAUGCUUGUUCUGACCUUUGAGAUGAAAGGAUUUGGUUGGCCAAUUUUGUAGAGGAAGCCAACCACAGCUACAUCACUGUUGUUCUUGGCUCUGUGAACCAUGUGCAAUUCCACAUCAUACCUUUUGCCAUUAAUGGAAUGCUCUGAGGGGGAGUGCCAAUGGCAUUGUCUGAGGUUGUAUUCUUUGCCAUUGAUACUGAUUGAUCCAGCAUCACCGUCCCAUAUAACCUGCGUCAAAUUUACAAGCAGUCGAAAAUCAUGCCUUCAUUAUUGUUCAUAAAACAAGUUAAACAAGAUUUUCACUUUCUUACCGCGAUAGCAUGACCUUCAUUCUUCAUAAUGGCUUUUGUAGGCUUAUAACUGAUUUUAAAAUGCUCUAAACUUGAGUUCACUUUGGUGGCAAUCCCAUCCCUUAAAUCUAUGGGUGAUUGGCCUUUCCCAUUCUUGCAUGUCAUCCAUUCUUUCUUAAGGUCUCCCCAGCGCUCUGGUCCUUUCUUGCUCCCUGCCUUGUAUUCAAAUUCUAUUUUAUGCCCUGCACCUAAAAACCCAAAUUCAGCAAAUUAUGAUGAAGAAGAAGAAUAAGAAGAAGAAGAAGAAGGAUGCAAGUUUCUAUAUAUUUAUGUAUUUGGCAUUACCAGAAACUUCAGCUCCAGUUGGUGUUGGGUCCAAGCACAGAAGAAAAAAUGUAAAAAAAAUGAACACAAGAUGGAUUUGCUUUGAGCCAGCCAUCUUUCACAGCCAAUUAUUGCAGCUAGGAUGCAAAUGGUUAUACCCAACAGGAUGGAUGCCUCCGGCUCCUGUUAGGUAUUUUAUAUAGCAAUGUUCAAUUCCUUGAUCAAUGUGUAUGAGAUAUCAAUCACUUUUAUGCAAUUCUAAUUAGCCUUUCUUGGCAUUGCAAUCCUUCUACAUUUUGGGGUAAUUAUACCAUUUUUUCAUGGAAAGUUUGGAAGUUGCAUUAACUGAAUUUGAUCAAUUCAAUACAGCCAGUCUGGCCACUCAUUUUUUUUUUUUAACUCCUUGAUUUAGGUGUUCUAUCUCUCUUUCUAUCUAUCUAACACUAAAAAUAUGGAAUAUUUUUCUGUCUAUAUACAAAAGUACUAUAUAUAGAAACAAGAAGUUGGUGCAGUCCUACUUAUAAUUAGCCCUAGAUUUAUGGGAUCCGAAAUUUUUUAGAACGUAGAAUGAAAAUAAAAAUAAAAUAAAAUAAGACACCAAAAUUUGCCGAUGGCUUUGUAAUUUUGUUUUGCUUUGACUAAAAACUAACAACGACACCAGCGCAAACAACAUGUCUACAACAAAAUUAGUUUCGCGAAAAAUAUGUUGUAUGUUGGCCUCAAGGAACUAAUCAUGUCCAACACAGAAUGUCCUUAACCAACGAAAAUAACUGUGGAGGCAAACGAGCACGACUCAAAAUAGCAUCAACUCUUGAGUCCGAGAUUUUCAUGUUUCUUGGUGUCCAAGUUUCUAUGGAGUUACUCCUUGAGAAUGUAAUCUGUCCAUGGAAUUUAUUUUCGGUUCAAAAUUGAAGACAUCAUAGACAGUCUAAAGAACAUAAAGAAUUUUCCAAGAUGGUAUGCUUAACAUAUCUGUGCAAGUACUAAUUUAUUACACAGCAAAGAAUGCAAACUUUUUAUUUUCUUUUCAAUCAUGGAUGUUGCUAGUUUCGCAACACUGGCUGUCUUAACAACGUGCUGUAGAGCAUGAUGUCUCGGUCGUUGAGAGGCUGUGAUGGUCUUGCGUUCAUCUUUGCAUACUGCAUUCAGGUUAAUGAACACAAGUUAAAUAGGUGCUCAAAAUUGAUACUUUAAUGUAGUUAGUUCUAACAGAGGAAUCACAUAACAAAGACAAGGUUACUUACAUCAUAAACAGCUUGUUUAAGUAACUCCAGUUGUUCUUUCGAAACAGUAUUUACCUGAGGGCAAAUUAUCUAAAUGUGAAUUUACAAGAGUUCAAGAAAUGUUCAUGGCAGAUGAAGAGGUUUUACCAUUUCGUUUACGAUCCAAAUAACUCCUUCAGUGCAAGGAGGGGUUGUGAGUGAGCCAAUGUAUCUGUAAAAUUUUAAGCUGCUCCAUUUUAUCUCACUUGGAUCAGUCAGUUCCAGUUGUGUCUCCUUUGUACCAAUCAUAGACUCUAAGCCGUUGUGCACCUGAAAAUUGGAAUAUAUAUAGUUGAAAAGUAACACCUUUGAGCUCCUAUAAUUUGUUUUACACAUGUUUUGAGUCUUUUUACCUUUGAGAGAAGAGGAUUGGGGCUACCAAUUUUGAAUAGAAGUGCAACUACAGCUUUAUUGUUCAGGUCCGGACUUCGGUGAAGCAUGUGCAGCUCCAAAUCAUACCUAAUAAGUAACUCUUUAGACAUUGAUCAAACAAUUUGGAUAUUUAAGACAGAGGAGCUGAGAUAGAGAAAGAGAGAGACCUGAUGCCAUUAAUGGAAUGCUCAGAGGGGGUGUGCCAAUGGCAUUGCUUGAGGAAGUAAUCUGUGCCAUUGAUUUUGACUGAUCCAGCAUCACCCUCCCACUCCAUCUGCAUCAAUUGAAUAUAAUACGAAGAAAUGAAAAUUGCAGCACUAUGAAUGUCUCUUAAAAUAUGUUUUUGUUUUUGAUGACAAAUUAGACAUUUCCACACAGCAUAUGUAGUAAAAAUUCAUAAGACCUUGAAUGCUACACAUUUGAAAAAAACAAUAAAUUAACUCAAUGAGAUUUUUAAUUUGCCCACCGCUAUAUAGUGGCCUUCGUUCUUCAUGGUUGCAUUGCAGGGCUUGUAACUCAUUUGAAGAUCCUCUGAACUUGAGAUCACUUUGGUGGCACGGUCAUCCGAUAAAUCUAUUGGUGAUUGCAAUUUUCCAUACUUGCAUGCUGCCCAUUCUUUCUUAAGCUCUCCCCAGUGUUCUGGUCCCUUGUCAUUCCCAUUCCUAUAAUCAAACUCUAUUUCUUGACCUGCACCAAAAACCCAAUGGCUGUGAUAAUGAUGAAGCUGGUAAAUGAGAUGAGUGCAAGAAGUAAAUAUAUUUGCAUUACCAACAACUUGGGCUCCAAUUGGUAUUUGGUGCCAGUAGAGAAGAAAUAACGAAAAUACAAGGAACUGAAGAUGGGCUUGCUUUGAUUCAACCAUCGUUCACAGACAACAGCCACUAAAAUCAUACAAAUGUUAAGACAGAGGAGCCUCUGUUCUUUGUUUGAAAUUGCUACAAUGAAGAAUGAUAGAAUGAUGCACUAUGAGCCUAUGCCUAUAUACAAUUUCCCGGAUCUAGAUGUGGAAAAAAAUCCAUACAUCAUCCCUCUAGUAAUAUCUUUGUAAUACUAAUCACUUUUAUUGCAUACUAAAAUGGGGUCUGAAUGAUUUCGAAAUUUGAUGACGCACAACAGCUAGGACAUGCAUGCAUCUGUGGUUUGCAUGCGAAAGUACUUCCACUCCCUACGAUGGAGAAGUUUAUGUGACCUAACACCGCCACGUGGUGUUAUUAAUCCACGUAUUAAACAUGUUAGCUUCUUGGUGUCUCGCUGUAUUCGUAUCCUCGUCUAAUACACUUGCAUUUUGAGAAAACCUCUUAACGAGUUGGACUCUCUCUUGGUGGAAACUAGAAAGAAUCAUCAGUCUCUGCUAACUAAGGUAUCUGUUAAUAAAUGCGGAUAUGUCCCAAUCUUGCCCUUUUAUUUUUUGGAAAGUCUUUAUCUCUGUUUGGUACGGAAAGAUUUACCUCAAUUCUUUCCUAGGUUCAUUUUGAAUUUUCUUCUUAUUUUAUUUUUAUAAGUUGGCACAUUGUGCUAUGUAGUGCCCGUGGAUAGCAUUUGGAAAGAUAAAUGAUUUCAAUCCAUUUACAACAAUUCAAUGUUAAUGGAAAAUUUCAUAAAAUGUUACACAUUCAUUCUAAUUCUGUUUUUGACUAAAAACCAGCUUAGGGACUUGGCAAUGAGAGAGACCUGGAGUUGGAAAUAGUUUGUGUUCAUGAUGCAGCACAGAAGACGGAUCGACAAACAUCUAAACCCGAAAAAAUAAACUGAAAUCCACUAGAAAAUAGAGAAAUCUCUAAAUUUUGAUUAAUAAUAUGAUAAAACCUAUUAAUAUAAUGCCAUUAGUCGGCUUAAAUAGAAAACAAAGAAACACUAGGUUACAAAAUAUUCCUAAAACUUAAUUAAUAAGAAAAUACUUUAAAUCAUAUCAGGAAAAUAAUAUCCUAAUUGAUAACUUGUCCAGAAAUAUAAAUAUAAUACAGAUUUUUUCAAGAAAUCAAGCAACCUGAAAAUCCCAGAGAUACGCAUUCCUUCUUUUCCUACCGCCAUAAUUAAUGCUCAAGCAUGAUUUUCCAAUUUUGAAGCCGAAUUUUCUGAUUUUGAAAUUUCCUUCCUAGGAAUAAACACAUGAUUUGUCCUACAUCAGUUCAGAACUUCCAUUGUCCUUGCUUUAGUAGCUUGGAGGUAAUCUAAAGACUUUCUUAGUAUGCAGCCACCACUGGCGACAAUGGAGGCUGAUGUGGUUAGUUACACAUAUCUCACUGGAGGAAGGAUCAGAAAGAUGAGCCAUGGAGCUUGAUAUCCCGGCCAUAAAGAGGUUGUAGUGGUCUUGCAUUCAUCAUUGCAUACUGAACUCAAGGUAAUCAACAGAAAAAGUUAUUAUAUGCUCAAAAAUGGACACUUUGAUAUGCUUUUUGGUGGACAUUAUCAUUUCGAAGAAUCUGUUGCACAAGAAUCACUUCACAAAGACAGGUUUUACUUACAUCGAAAACGACUUGUUGAAGAAGAUUCACUUGUGAUUUUGAAACAGAAAGUACCUGAGGACAGUUUAUAAUUAGCUUCUCAUUUUUGGCAACUGAAAUGUGAAAUUACAGGAGCAGGAAAAAUUUUCAGGGCUGAUGAAGUCGGUUGUACCUGUUUGUUUAUGGUCCAAGUAACUCCUUCAGUGCAAGGAGGGGUUGUGAAUGAGCCCAUGUAUCUGUAAAAUUUCGAGCUAUCCUCUCUCAUCUUCCUCCUUUUCGCGUCUUGAAACCCUGUCUGAGCCUCCUUCAUCUUCAUCGGAUCAAUCACUCCCAGUUGUACAUUCUUCUUUACAUCAGUCAUAGAUGCUAUCUCCUUUGUCACCUGAAAGUUGGAACAACACCAUUGAUCUCCUGUCCUCUUCUCUAAUUUAACUAAAACGAAUUUUUAGCACAUAAUUUGGAAGGAUUUUACCUCAGAGAGAAACGGAUUGGGUUUGCCAAUUUCGUAGAGGAAUCCAACCACAGCCACAUUGUUGUUCUUGGCUCUGUGAACCAUGUGCAAUUCCAAAUCAUACCUUUUGCCAUUAAUGGAAUGCUCAGAGGGUGAGUGCCAAUGGCAUUGUCUGAGGAUGUAAUCUGUGCCAUUGAUACUAAUUGAUCCAGCAUCACCUUCCCACACAAUCUGCAUCAAAUUACAACACAAGCAGUAAAAAUUCAUGUCUGAAUUUGUACACAAACAAGUUAAAGCAGAGUUUUUCACUUUCUUACCGCAAUAACAGGACCUUCGUUCUCGAUCAUGGCUUCGGCAGGCUUAUAACUGACUUUAAAAUGCUCUAAACUUGAGUUUACUUUGGUGGCAAUCCCAUCCAUUAAAUCUAUUGGUGAUUGUGAUUUGCCAUCCUUGCAUGUUUUCCAUUCCUUCUUAAGCUCUCCCCAGUGCUCUGGCCCUUUCUUGCUCCCUGUCUUAUAUUCAAAUUCUAUUGCAUUCUCUGCACACAAAAACCCCAAACUGAAUAAAUUAUGAUGAAGAAGAAUAAGAGAAUAAUGUAAGUUUAUAUAUGUAUGUAUGCAUUUGACAUUACCAGAAUUUUCAGCUCUAACGGGUUUCGGGUUCCAGCACAGAAGAAAAAAUGUAGAAACAAGUAACCCAAGAUGGAUUUGCUUUGAUCCAGCCAUCUUUCACAGCCAACAACACUCGAGUUUCAAAUUGCUACCACCCAAAAGCCUUCUCCUGUUGGGGUUUAUAUAGCAAUGUUCAAUUCCAGUUACAGAAUUUGAAUGUGGAAACAAAUCACAGCUUCUCCACUUUUAAGCAAUUAUAUAAUUUACCUUUCUUGGCAAUUGCAAUUAUACUUUGUUAAUGGAAAUUCAAGAAGUUGUAUUAACUCCUUGAUUUAUGUAAGCUCUCCCUCUUAUACUAGUAUUGAAGAUUUUUCUUUCUAUAUAUACAAGAGUUACUAUAUAUAGAAAAUAAGAAGUUUUGGUGCAGUUUUUUUGUUGUGAUUAAGCAAGCAUAUCCUCAUAAUUAGCGCUAGAUUUUGGGGGAUUUAUACACUUCUCUAGAACGUCUUGGUACAGAGAACAAAAAAUAAAAAUUAAGACAAAUGACUUGGUAAUUUUUUGUUUGUUUUGCUAUAACUGAAAACUAACGACGACAUCCACGCAAACAUGUCUACAGCAGAAUUAGUUUCACGAAAAAUCUGUUGUAACCAAAUCAAACAGAGAAUGUUGUUAACCAACCAAAUUAACGGAAUUGAGAUGUGUGCUUUCUGAUCUAUCAUAAAACAAGUCCAUUCUACCAACGGAUAGUUUUAGUUCAUUUUUCAUAAACAUUGUGAAGAACAUAUAGAAUCUUCCAGGCUCGUAUGCUGUAAUUUAUUAUUAUCAUGGACAUCACAUUGUUUGCAAGAAAUAUAAAAUGAAUAAUUAUACCACGUGAUCGUACUAUCGUCUCAAAUAGAACAACGCUAACUCACAAUUGAUAGAUACAACAAAUUCAUGCCACAAUUUCUCAUAAAUUUCAUAAAUUCAACAAACUAACACAGGAAUUACAAGUCUACGCUUAUAUAGCGCACAAACCUCACUAUUAAAAAAAGUAGAAAAGAGAAAACAAUAAAGGAAAAUAAUACAAUAUAUCUUCUUUCUAAUCAAAUUUAAAAAAAAAACAGUAAUUUAGAGAAGAUAUGCGAAGAUACACACUGUUAUGUGCGUAAAUAAUCUGAGAGAUUGCUUAGGGCUUUGGUUACCCUCUGGGUGGCUUGGUUUUGGUGCAUUAAUUGAGCCAGAUUCCUUGGGGCUUUGUGCACUAACUGACCUAUAUUGCUUGGGGCCGUGGUUGCCCUCAUGGGGGCUUGGUGCAUCACUUAACGACAGGCCAUAGUGCUUGAUUUCUCGGUCAUUGAGAGGUUGUAAUGGUCUUGUAUUCAUCUCUGCAUACUGCAUUCAAGUUAAGCAACAGUAGAAAUUAAUUUGUGUGAAAAAUUGUUACUUCGAUGAUAGGUACUGAUCAUUUGAAAGACACUACUCUCGCGAGUUUUCACUUUGUUGAAGUAGGUCAUUAGUUCAAAUCUCAUAGACGACGCCGGUAGAUGAAUACGAAGAAAACAAAAAUCAAGGAAUCAAUUAACGAAGAUAAGGUUACUUACAUCAUCCACAGCUUCUUGAAGUAACUCCACUUGUUCUCUUGAAACAUGUUUUACCUGAGGGCAGUUUAUGAUAAGCUAAGUCUCUCAUAAUUUUUUUGGCUAAAAAGGAUAUGAAGAAAUGCUAACUAAUUAGGGCUGAUGAAGAGGUUUUGUACCUUUUCGUUUAUGGUCCAAAUAACUCCUUCAGCGCAAGGAGGGGAUGUGAGUGAUCCAACGUAUCUGUAAAAACUGAAGCUAGUCCAUUUUAUUUCCCUUGGAUCAAUCACUCCUAAGUGUACCUCCUUUGUAGCAACCUCAGACAUUAUAUCUUUGUUCACCUGAAAAUUGUAAGAGUUGGAAUAACACCAUUCAUCUCCUAUAGUUUCUUUUAUACAAUUGUGUUAAUCUUGAGGCCUUUUAAUUACCUUUGAGAGAAAAAGGUUGGGGUUGCCAAUGUGGUAUAGAAAUGCGAGUACAGCAAUACUGUUCCUUAUUUUCGGGUCGGUGCUUUGAUGAACCAUGUGCAGUUCCAGAUCAUACCUAAUGAAGAGACUCUUUAGACAUUGAAGAAACAUUUUGGAUUUUUAAGACAAAGGAGAUGAGGGAGAGAGAGUGAGACCUUAUGCCAUUAAUGGAAUGCUCAGAGGGGGUGUGCCAAUGACAUUGUUUGAAGAAGUAAUCUGUGCCGUUGAUUUUGAUUGAUCCAGCAUCACCUUCCCAUUCGAUCUGCACCAAUUGAAUACAAUACAAAAUCAAGAAAGAAAUGGACAAAGGAAUAAGUUUUCUUAUAGCAAAAAGAUCACAAAACCAAAGCUCUGUUUGUAACAAUGUGAAAAGCAACACACUAAUAUUUUUGCUAAUAACAAAUAUAGUGUCAACAUACUAAGGAACAAUGAACUAUGGAAUAAUUGAAAUAAGGAAUUGUUAAAAAAAAAAAUAAAAAUAUUCAGCAUUAAUUAACACCAUCAUUUAGUAUCAAUCUUGGAUUCAAAUCUCACGAACGAUAGUUGUUCAAUAAAUAAAUAAGACCAUUAUCCACAUCUCAACCAAAAGAAAACUCAAUCGGAUUUUCAAUUUCUAACCGCAAGAUAGGGACCUUCGUUCUUGACAGUUGCAUUUGAAGGCUUAUAACUCAUUUUAAGAUCCUCUAAACUUGAGGUCACGUUGGUGACAUGAUCAUCCGACAAACCUAUUGGUGAUUGAAAUUUCCCAUCCUUACAUCGUGCCCAUUCUUUCUUAAGCUCUCCCCAGUGUUCUGGUCCCUUCUUACUCCCUUCCUUAUAAUCAAACUCAUCAUGCUCUGCACCAAAAACCCAAAUUCAAUAUAAAAUGUGAUAACGGUUAUAUUGCUCUUGAUAAUGAUAUGAAUCCAAUCAUAUAUAUUGCAUUACCAGCUUCUUUAGCUCUAAUCAGUGUUGGAUGCCAGUAGAGAAGAAAAAAAGUAAAAACUAAGAGCUGAAGAUGGGCUUGCUUUGAUUCAACCAUCAUUCACAGCUGAAAGAAAACAAUUAAGAUUAUGCAAAUGUUAAGACAAUAUUGAUGAACUGUGAGUGUAUGUUAUGGAGCUUCCUCAAUCACACAUGGCAGCCAUCACUGUAUAAUUAACAGGAUCUAGAUGUGGAAAGAAAUCAGAUAUCCCUUUACCCUAGCUAAUGUUAUCCCCUUCGUUGGUUUUAAAUCCAUGUCACCUAUAUUAGAUGCUAAUUAUAAGUAACAUUGCCUUGACUUGUUCACUUGAAAUUAAAAGAAUUAUAUAUAUAUAGACAUGAGAAUUUGCCAACACCCAAUCAGCUCAGGGUGGAUCCAGAGUCCCAAUUUAUAUUUUUAUUUUCUAAGGGACAAAGAAAAUAAAAUUAAAAAAAGAUACACAAAAAUUUGCCAAUUACUUGGUGGUUUUUAUUUUUAUUUUUACAAGAACGAUUGGAUAAUAGAUUAAUCAUCAUCAAGGUCAUCUUCUCCUUCACUAAAGAAACUCCAUAAUGACGUGAUGCCAGAUACUUAUACAAUAUCACUCUUUUAGAAAUGUGGUUUGAAUGAUUUCGAUAUUCGAUUAGGUUCAACGGCUAGUCCCAUGUGAUUUUAUGCCAUUGGAUGAAAGUUUGAUGGAGCUUCUUGAAACAAUAAGAAAAAAAAUUGAAAAUAGUUCAUGAUAGAUAUUAUAUUCGUGACAUUAUUAAUUUAUAUCAUAUUUAGCAAAUUACCCCAUAUGAAUAUCGUGUCCUAUAGUACUAGUCCAUUUUUAACAAUUCAUUAAUGCAUGGUUUUUCUUUUUGAUGCAUACUAACGUAUACAAAUACUUUGAAUGAUCAUUUGUGAUGCCGUUAUAAAUUAAGAAGUCUAACUAGAAACAGAUACAUUGAAGAACAGAGGAAAUUCAAGCUAUAACAAGAGAUAUAUCGAGCACAUUGAAGUCCAUAUAUGUGUUCCAAUUUUUAUUUUUACAAAUCAAAUAUAACAAGAGAACAAUUUUUUUCUCCAUCUUGUUGUGAGCCAAUUAUAUAAGUUGAGUCCACUAGGGUUUCUGGCGAACUCUCUUAUAUCUUCAGUUGUAUUUAAUAAUCUUUGGUUUUUGGAAAUAGAGGCGGAUCAUUCGUCGAUUGAGAGGUUGCAAUGGCCUUGCAUUCAUCUCUGCAUACUGCAAUUAGUUUAAGAACCACAUUAGAAAAAGCAAAAAAAAAACAGAACAAAAAUCUUUUCUAUGUGAUCAAAGGAUGGAAGCACAGACAGCCACUUACAUCGUACACAGACACUCGAAGUAGGUCUAUCUGUUCCCUUGAAACAGUCCCAAACUGCGUUGAGGCAAUUAAAAUUUAGGUAAGGAGCUAAUAAGAUAACGUUCUUGGCCCGCACGCAAGAAAUAGAAAUUAAAAAAGACUAAUGCAAUUAAAAAGAAAAGGCCUAUAGUUGAAGAGGGUUUACCUGUUGGCUCAUGAUCCAAAUAACGCCUUCAGUGCAUGGCGGAAUGGUGAGUGAGCCUGUGUAUCUGUAGUAGUUUUUUCCAUCCAAUUCUACUAUUUCUGCAGGAUCAAUCACCCCAAUGCUUCUCUCCAUCUUUUUAUCCGUCAUAGAUGCUAUAUCCCUCGUCAACUGAAAAUUCAGAACCAGCACAUGUUAAAGAUUAUUAGGACGUGUGGUACGUCUUGAGAAGACUUCACUAAUUUCUUAGAAAUUUGAUAUUGAAAACCUAAAAUUCUAAGCUCUAAAUGAUGAUUCUGCACCCUAAAACAAUCAACUGUUAAUAAAUAAUAUCGAAUUAAGUUGAAGAAAAUUGAGUAGAAGUGAUGUUUUCACGACGCGUCAUGUCUUUAAAAAAGAUUAGAUGUCCUGUACAUUGUAUAGUCUUACGCCUAUAGCAUGGCAUGUGAUGUAUGUACGUAGUAUAUUAACGCAUAUAGUAUGAGAUUUGAUGCAUGGUAAUAUUUUGUAUUAGUGAUAACAAGCAAAAAAACAAUUUGUCAAAAAUUAAUACUGGUAACUCGGGCUAAGUGGUUUAAUGUAGGAGGCUCUUUCACCUUUGAGAGAAAGGCAUCAGGGCUACCAAUCUGGUAGAGGACUCCAACAACAGCAGUAUUGCUUUCCACUUUCGGAUCCGGGCUUUGAUAAACCAUGUGGAGCUCCAUAUCGUACCUAACACAGGAAACUAGAUCAUGAGAGACAUAUCAACAAACAAAUUUUAUGCGUCACAAUUUUGUGGCAUUAAGAGAGACAGAGACCUCUUGCCAUUCAUGGAGUGCUCGGAGGGAGAGUGCCAGUGGCUUUGCUUUAAGAAAUACUGAAUGCCACUGAUCUCAAUCGAUCCGGCGUUGCCUGCCCACUCAAGCUGCAUCCACCACAUAAGUAUGAUUAUGAACUACCCUUUUGCAUAAUUAAUAUCUCCUAAAUAUGAUUAUGAACUUCAGAGUUUCCUUAAUUACCUUAAUGUCAUGGCCUCUAUUCUUGAGAGUGGCAUUAGAAGGCUUGUAAAUCCUCUUUAGCUCCACUAAGCUUGGGAGUAUUUGAAAACUCUUACGUGGCAAAUCUAUUGGAGAUUGCAUGCCUCCAUGUUUGCAUGCUGCCCAUUCUUUCUUGAUCUCUCCCCAGUAAGCUGGCCCCUUCUUGCUUCCCUCAACAUAAUCAAAAUCUCUCUCAUCCUCUGCACCAAUAUAAUAUAACAUAAAUGUAUGAGCAACUCAAUAUAAGAACUGCUAAUUAAAUGUUAAAGAAUAAAAGCAUGCAUUUUCAUUCUGCAUACCAACUUCUUGAGCUUCGACGACUGAUAUUGUCGAAUGCAUGAACAGAAGUACAAAAACUAGAAAACAAGAAAUGAUGAAGAUGGGUUUGCUUCGAUGCUUCAUGUUGAUCAUUUAUCAGAUAAAACAUGCAAGUCUUUGUGAUGUUCUGAUCAGUAGGAGUUUUUUUAUUGGUAUAUAUAGAUAAAAACCACUGCAAUUAAAUUGAGGACAAAAAAGGGAGAGGCAUUGCAAUCACAAGUUUUUUGGAUAGUCUUGGGCGGUAUAACAUGAGACGUCUCAGGACUAAUGAAUGCGCCAUAUAAAUUACAAAGGCAAUUGUAUUGUACACUGCCAGUUUUGAGUUUGCUACCGAAAGUUUUGCAUGAUUUUGAUCAAUGAGGAAAAGCCGGUAAAACUUAGACGAACAUGAGCUGGGUAGAGUUUGGGUUGAUUUUAGGUCUAAAUCUCAUCACGCUUGAGAAGACAUAUAAAAGGAAAGUUUCACAAUCCAAGGAUUUCACUUUGGUUUAUAUUACUUUGGAAACUCUAAACCCAAAGUAAUUGCAUCUGUUUAUGCCAAACAGAAAAUAAAGUAAAAUUUGUUUGGACAAAGAAAAUAAAGUAAAUGCAUAAUUUGGAAUUUUAACAUGGACUUAGCUAAGUUGGCUAGAGCGGAUGUGCUCCCCACUCUGCACCCGAAUUUGAAUCAUCCUCCCAUAAUUUAAAUUAAAUUAAAAUUAGAAUAUUGUUUGUAUGAUAAUGUAUAUAUACACACACACGCUUGAGCUAGCAAUACAAUGAACCUUCGUGUUCUUCUUAAUUUCUCUCAUAAAUAGGAGAAUUUCUAAACAACUAGCCAUACCCAUACAUGCGGCUAGAAAAUAUUCUGAAAUCUAAAUUAUUUCCCAACAAUAUAUCAUGCAAAAUAUAUUGAUGUAUAGGUCAAAUGAAAUGAUUUUUCAGGGUAUAAAAAAGCAUGACUUGGAUGAUCCCUUUUAUUUUAUCUACUGUUCAGAUUUUGUGUGUUUUCAGGAUUAUAGCAUUUACUUUGGCAGAGGAGAAACUACCCAAAAUUAUAACCAACUUUGCACAUCACCAAGCUAGCAAUGCCAAAUAAAAACAAAGAAAUUAAAAGCUAGUUUAAAUACAACUAACACCGAAUUCAAGAAUCAAAAUCAGACAAUCAAUAUAAAUAAAGGAAGUCUAAGAGCUUCAUAUACCCAAGCGUUUAUCAUAAGAAUCAGAAUCUCAUUCCAAAUUCAACCUGAGUUAAUUACAAAACUUGUGUACUCAUUAUACCAAAUUAAUUUAACUCUAGUUACAACAAGUGCUAUAAUGUAAAAUUGCUAACUAAAAUACAUUGUAGUGACUCUUAACUUUUACUUUGGAAUUGCCUUUGAAAUUGUGAGACUUGCCUGCAUAUUUAGUUCUCUUCAAUAUCUCACACAAAUUAGAGUAGUCAAAUCAGUUAACAUCUUUCUACCAAAAAGAGCUCACCCAAUACAAACAAGCAGUAAAAGUUGUGUUUAUACUCUUAGCAUACACAGACUCUUAGCAGAUCAUGCAAUGCAAACAGUUCGUUAAGAAGUCAGUUGUUUAUUAUUUAGGAUAUAAAAAAGCAUGACUUGAGUGCCUCACACUAUUUGUUUUACUUUUGGUUCAUAUUUGGUGUGUUUUCGAGAAUAUUUAACAGCCCCUGCCCGGCCCUUAAUUUGCGAAUAGAAGGCUGCAAAUGUAAUUUUACAAGUUCUAUAUUUAGGCUGCGGCUGACACUUUAGAAAACAAAAACGAGCAUCUUGGAACUCAAACAAAAAAGCCAAACAAGACGUAUAUCACUUUUUUUUUUUUUGGUGAUUAAAGAAAUUGACAUGAACAGAACCUGCUUCAAUAUGGUCUGAAAUCAUUAUCAGAAAAGGAAAAGGGUCAGAAAGUUGGACAUUUUUUAACGUAACACAAUGGCCAUGAACUUAAAAAAAAUUAAAAAUUAAAAAUUAAGAUCGAAUUUACUUUCAUCUAAUUGAAAACAAGGUAGCCUCAUUUUCUACCAAAAAUAAGGUCCACCCUGAAUUCCCCCAGCUGCCAAACAUUGGCUUCACGAUAAGACCAAAAAAAAAUUAGGAUAGGUGAGUUGUACAGCUGGCAGUAAAAACAAAUUGGCAUGAGAAUAGAUGUCCAGUCAUUUCGGUUGACUAAUCAUACUACUUAAUAUUUAAAUGAAUGCACUGUAUGAUUUUUAUGUUUAAGGAUCUUCAUUCCAUUUGAGCCAUGACAAGGUUAAUUUCAAAUUCUGUAAUCAUCUUGAGUGCAGACUUAACAUAGUCUAAAUUAUUGAGCUUGACUGAUUACAUAAAAGAUUACAAGUUUGUCAAAAAAAAGCUAAAAAUAUUAGCUAAACAAAACCUAACCGAACUAAUAAUAGAAUUCAUUUUCUCUCUGUUUUCUUCAUUACCUCUUCUCUAUUUUAUGAUCUUCAUUUUAUCUCUGUUUUUUUCAUUGUCUCUUCUCUAUUCUCUGAUCUUAACACAAACACAAACACCCACAUUCAAUUCUUCUUUUUGAACAAUUAUAUCAUUUUGUAUUUUUUCUCAAGAUUGUUUUUUGAUUCACUCUUUUCUUGCACCUCAAGACAUUGAAACCAAUCAAUCCUCUUGGUGAAAAUAUUAAGUUCACCAAAAUAAAACUUGGGAUAUGAAUAUGAGUAUGCAAAGAUGAUUGAGCAAGUAUAUAUGUAGGUAGAAUUUCAUAUAAUUCGGGAUGUCUAUAGAGUACACUAGGUUUAGUCCAAUCUUUCUCAAUUUAUUCUACCACAUAACUAAUAAAAUGAUUUUAUAAUAAUAUAUUUAGUUCACUCCAAUAUCUUAUGUAAAUUAAAAUAUAUUUAAAUAAAAUAAGAAAAUAGUGUUAUACCCACCCAUAUAAGCAAAGAUUAAAAUCUCAAUCUUACCAUUACUUAUCAAUUCCAACAAGCAUUAUUUAUUCUAAUAUAUCAUGCAAAUGGUUGGUUAACAGGUGAAAUUUAUUCUUUAAGGGUAUAAAAGCAUGAAGGGAGUCAUCACACUAUUUGUUUCUCCAACUGUUCAUAUUUUGUGCGUUUUCAAGACUAGCCGAGGAAACUUCACUUUGAUUUUUUCAAGAGUUUGAAAAUUUUCAUAUAACUCUAGAUGUGAAUACUCUUUACACAUUUUUUACGUGGGAGACAAUAGAUAAACAAAAUAAAAAAAUUUCCGUUCAUUUUUUUAUAGAAAAAUCUAAGUGAUGAGUUUCGAGGUAUUUUACAUAUGUACACAAAAAAAUUAUAUACAAAUCGAGUUUCAUUCUGUUUUCCCUUUCUUUCAAUUAAAACCCCACACACAAUUGCAAACAGACACUUAAUAUAAUUCAUCAACGCGUUAUAACAGAGUGAACAACUAUAACUACUCCUUAUAUAUAUGCAUCAUGAGCUUCAAAAUUUUCCUCUGUAUUGUCUGAGUUGUCCUCUAUAGACUACGGUAUACUUUUUCUUUGGCUGUCUACCCCAUUUUUGAAACCUAAAUAUUUCUUUAUCUUUUAAGGGAUUUUAGGAAGAAGGGGAUCUCAACUAUUGGAUUGAUCAUUGAUGGGGGGUUGAAGAAGUUGUAAUGCAUUUUGAGCAACUUGCUAGGAGCGUAGAACUAUCAGUCUCUAGUUUACCAUAAAGCCCUUGACUGCUAAUCAGCGACUUCAAGUUGAAGCUAGGCAAACACACACAGAUAUAUAUAUAUAAAUAUAUUAUACAUUUGGGAUCUACUUAAUCAUCUACAUCCAUAAAUCUUCUUUCAGUCAAAGAGGUAGGACCAAACAUGUAAUAAGAGUCAAAAAGGGCAUCAAAUGUACGUAUUAGUGGGCCGAUGAGGAUCAGGUACCAGCACAUUCACUACUCCAAUGAUUUCAACAAGAGAACGUUGUAUUGUAUAUUUUAAGAACAUUAUCCAAAAGCAGAUUCUUAUAUAUAUAUAUAUAUAUAUAGAAAAAUUCUUUUAUUCGGACAUUCCGAUGUUAUUAUCGUGUGGACGCUAUGUAUUUUGUACUACAUUUCCCUACUUUCAUGUCUGUUUACAAUAGAUUAUGCAUGAUAAUAACGUGCGGAUAUAUAUUUCAAAUAUUUUUAAGUAGUUUUUUCUUUCUUCUGUUACUAUAUAUAGCUAGUUAGAGAGUUGCAUGGAUCUAAAAAUGAAAAGCCUAAAUUAAGGGAUAUGAUUUGAUCAAAGAACGAGAGUUGAGAGAUUAUAUAUUGGAUUAAUUUUUCGAGGUAUUAUUCUGAAUUGGGUGGGUCAAAUUUUUCAAAAGCUAGCUCUCAUUAAACCCUAGCUAAAAGUUGGUGGGUGUAGGCAUAGGGAUUAGGAUCGAUGCAUUUUGAAAUCCUUUAACUGAAUGGGGGCCAUGGUUUGCAGUUAAAGUUAUAGAGAGAGGGGGCAUUUCUUUUCUCUCUUCCACUUUACAUGUUGGAGAGGAAAGGAAUAUGAAUACAGCUCCUUUCUAACAUAAAUAUUCAACAAUGGACCACGCAUUUGUCUGAUUCUUCUCAGAAUCUGAUGAAGCGUACGAAAUGCAUCUAUCAUAUUGUAAACGAGUCAUAGUAGUAGCAAACUAGCAAAGUGAACGCGGUGCAUUAAAUCAAGAAAUUGAGCACAACGAUUUUGAGCAGUCACCAAUCACUACUAGAAAACUUCUGUAUCUGCCAUUGGUACACCCGUGACCUAUAUUAAGGUAGGUCACAGAUUUUUCCAUAGUAUGUUGGAUACGAUGAGUUUUACAGAAUAUGCGUAUGUUCCCAUUUAAGUGUGUGUUUUUUUCACGGUUUAAUUUAUAGUUUUAUCUUAAAGAAUUUCGGUGCAAUUUAGGAAACUACAAUGUAGAAAGUCACUUAUGCAGCUUGGAUGACAAUUUAUUAUUUGAUAUGCACGCAAUUAUCCUAACAAAAGUCCACAACAAUGAACGUCGUCUCUAUUCAACUAAUCAUCUAUCCUAAACCAAAUUAGGAGGGCCUACACCUAUCAACUUCAUUGGAACUUUUGGCAAUGAAAGCAUGCAGCAACGCCAAAAGUGUAUAUACUAUAUAGUUUAGAAUAAAAAUAAUAAUAAUAAAAGGUAGCGUAAUGUCAUAAUGAAAGCACAAAACAGGGUAGGGUAUUUGAAAACUAAUGAAAGCAUAGAUAGCAGCAUCUAUGUAUAUCCAGUAUUAUUUAUUUCCUAACUUCUGAUUCCCCAAAUUAAUCUUUUUCUUUUAGUGGGGCCCUCAUGUCGAAGAAAGAGAGAAGAACAGAGAGCUGAUCAAUUUGUUCCCGGAUCCGCAGGAGGAGGCUCCAUACAUAUUUGAUGAUAUACAUGACAUAAUUAUAUUUGGUUGUUGCUGGGUUUACUGCACUGCAUGUGUAAAUGUAGGCCCUUUAUAUUAUUAACUGCUGCGGCUUUGAAACUGGGGUUGAUUGAAUUAACCAAUCAGAUUCAUAACUGGAUGAAAAGGACCAGUUGCUCUUGAAACUGUAUUUGUUCAGCUUAAUUCAUGCACUGAUGUUUCAAAAAGAAACAAAAUUUCUCAGCUCAAGAAAAAGAUGUGUAUCAUUUUGUCAGAUACGUAUCCCUCUUUGUUAAUCAUAUAAAAGCACCAAUUGUCAAAGCUAGUUUCAAGAAACCGGAUAUUUUGAUAUGUUUGUUUCCACGAAGAGGAAAGAAGCUACAUCUUUUGAGUACCUUUUUAUUUAUUUAUUUAUUUUGAGUUUUGAACACAAACAAUUACUGAAAGAAGUUGAGGUGAGUAGGAUAAGCCCAUGCUAGAUCCCAUCUUCACAUUUUCACACACCUCCACACGUGUGACGAAUUUUCAAACCUAACACGUAAACAACAUAUAUUGGGUGACGUGAAGUAUGUGUGGCUGUUGGACUUUUACAAGUGGACAAACCGAAGAAAGUUGAAGUUCCACCAAAAUUAAUUGGCAAUGGAGGAGUAGUCCAACACCUUAUAAGUCCGUAGUCCCACUUUUUCACCUACACACUCACAAUUACUACUAUAAUUUCAUGGCUUUUGAUGAAGAAGAAAAUAUCAAAUGCUGAUGAAAAAUCAAGGCUGCAUUGUACGAGCUGAAUUAAUGGGGCAGUGAACAACCUUAUUAACUGUGGUUUGGAGUAUUAAGGGUCCAAAAAGUCAAAAAGCCCUGCCAGACACCACGAGAUACCAACUUCGUUACCUACCUUUCCAUUUGCAAAACCCUAGCUAAUUGAUAUAAUGGUCCAAUUAGCUUCUGCCAUGUCACUCUAUCUAGGAUCUAGCUGCUUGAAAUUUGGUAUUAUAAACCAUUUUGUAUUAGGAGCACAGUUUACCCAUCAUGUUUAAUUAUUGUCUAUCAGUCUACUCCAUUUAAAACACUUAAAAUGACAAUGUUUGAAACCAUUCAAGUUUGAAUUCUUUUUAAAAUAAAAAAUAAAAAAGGAAAGCAAAAUGGAGACCAGCUCCUUUAGGAGAUAGACUUUCAUGCAAUAGAAAUAGUACUUUUUGCUAUUUUCGACCAAUAGCGGCAUGACACUCGAAAUAACCUUUUUAUGUGUCAUUGCAUAAUUGGCCGUUGAUAGAACAACAAUCCUAUCCCCGUUGCAAUAAAGUUUUUUUUGCUCCUCGAACAGUCUCUCUGUGUGGUUCUUUUUCUUUUUACCUCCAUUAGGGAUUCCCUAAAAGUCUAUAUCAAUGAUUAUAAAAGAAGAGCACUGAAGUGACACUAAUGGGUACAGUAAGAAAGAAAGGAGUGUGAGAGAAGAAGGCAAGAGACCAUCUUCUCCACUCACUCCAAUUACUGUUUAUUGUCUUCCCAAAUUAAACAUGCAGCUCAAUCACUGAAACACUAACUAGAUUCUUGGACCAAAUUGGUAUACAAUUCCUAGCAAUUAUAAAAACUAUCCUAACAUUUCCUCAAAAAUGGUUCCCAGAACCUGCAUUGUCCUGCUCUUUCUUCUCUGCUCAUUUUCUUCUCUUGCCACAGCAUUCCUCAACCUCACUCUUCCUGGCCAACAUCCCAACCCAGAAGAAGUUGUUCAAGAAGUUCAUAGGUAAAUACAUAGCUUUAAUUACCUCCUCUGUUUUUUCUUCCUCUGUUUUCUUCUGUUUCUCAGCCUUUUGUAGAUCUGAGUUAUCAAUCUUAACUUUUUUUUCCCUUUAUUUUUCAGGAAGGUUAAUGCUUCUUUGGCAAGAAGGCAAAUGCUGCAAGGAACCAUAAAAUACCAGGACUCUUCAUGCCUAACAGGAAACCCAAUAGAUGACUGUUGGAAAUGUGACCCAAAUUGGCCAAACAACAGGCAGAGCUUAGCAGAUUGUGCAAUUGGGUUUGGCCAAUAUGCUCUUGGAGGCAAAGGUGGUGAGUAUUAUAUUGUCACAGACUCUACUGAUGAUGAUGCUGUGAAUCCAAGGCCAGGCACACUGAGAUAUGCUGUGAUACAGACUGAGCCUCUCUGGAUUGUGUUCCCUGGCAACAUGCUCAUCAAGCUCUCCCAAGAGCUCAUCUUCAACAGCUACAAGACCCUUGAUGGCCGUGGAGCCAAUGUCCACAUUGUGGGUGGUGGCUGCAUCACGUUGCAGUUCAUAAGCAAUGUCAUCAUCCACAAUGUGCAUAUCCACCACUGUUAUCCGUCAGGUACAUGAGUUUUUCCACUUCAUUUCAUGAAUUUUUAUUUACCAUAUACGCAUGGUUUGCUCGUAGUUUAAGUUUAUCCAGAUUUACUUGAUACUUAUAUGUGACUUAUAAAUAAGAGACUGAGUGUAUCUAGAUUUACUUUAGAUUUACCUUAAAACACUUUGCCGGGUUAUUUUUGCUUUUACUAAAAAAUAAUUUCGGUGUACGCUCUUGGAAUUAGCUCAAGUAGCGGAGGAGUUUGAGAAAAAUUGGUUAGGAUUAGAAUAAGUUAAGAGUUUGAUUCCUUUCCAUGCAGGUGACGCUAAUGUGCGUUCAAGCCCAACCCACUACGGCUACCGCACAAAAUCAGACGGUGAUGGGAUCUCCAUCUUUGGAUCCAAAGACAUAUGGAUAGACCAUUGCAGCCUAUCACACUGCAAGGAUGGUCUGAUAGAUGCAGUGAUGGGGUCCACAGGGAUCACAAUAUCAAACAACUACUUCUCCCACCACAAUGAGGUGAUGCUUUUGGGACACAGUGAUGACUAUUUACCUGACACAGGCAUGCAAGUGACCAUAGCCUUCAAUCACUUCGGCGAAGAACUGGUGCAGAGAAUGCCAAGGUGCAGAAAAGGCUACAUCCAUGUGGUCAACAAUGACUUUACUCAAUGGGAAAUGUAUGCGAUCGGGGGCAGUGGAAAUCCUACAAUAAAUAGCCAAGGCAAUAGAUAUACUGCUCCAUCAAACCCUAAUGCCAAGGAGGUGACAAAGAGGGUGGAGACAGCGGAAGGGAAGUGGAAGGAUUGGAACUGGAGAUCAGAGGGGGACAUUUUGGUAAACGGAGCAUUCUUUGUGGCUUCAGGGAAGGGUGUUGAGUUUAACUAUGAGAAGGCCUACAGUGUGGAGCCCAAGUCUGCUGUUCUCAUUGACCAGCUCAUCAUGCAUGCUGGUGCCCUUGGAGUUGGUGGCAGGUCUCUCUCUUUUUCUUUUUUGUCUCUUUUUCUUUCUCUAUGCUCUCUUUUUCCCUUUAUUUUACUCUUUUUUACUUUUCUUAAUUAUCUAUGGACUACUUUGAUUAUCUCCACUAUGUUCAUGGCAAAAUUAUGGUGGGCUGAUUCUAAGCUCAAACUUGAAGAAGUCAGAUCUACUUGGUUUUAGGUUGGGGUCAUCUUGGGCCUCUAUUUUGCUUAAUUUUGGACCAAAUAGGACUUGUAGCAUAAUGUUUCACUUCUUUGAUAUCUCUGCAUCCAUGAAAAUGAGCCCAAGAUGUCUCUUUUUACUUUUAGUAAAAGAGAAUUGAAAUUGACUACUCAAUUCAUGUAGGAUGUGUUUGGUAGGGUUUUUCUUAGUUCUAAACCAACUUUUGAAUUUACAAAAGCACUUUUGAUAGUGUUUGGUAAUAAACAGAAGCGGUUUUUGCGGUCAAAGAAACAUUAUUAUCUAGUGGACAAAUUUUCAAAAAGCGCGUAGUUGCUGUGAAUAUGUAAAGUCUUGGGUUGAAAUGGUAAAACUAAGACCUGUGCAAUGUUAUACUCUGGAAGUUAUGGCAGUGCAUGAUGCAAUUUUGAAUGAACAGGGACAACAACCUGGGGAAGUGGAGCUCUGGAUCCAACGGUGACGGAAACGGUUUAGGGUCAGGUCCAGACUAUACGGAUGACAUGUCGGGAAGUAGCAGCAGGAACAAUCCACUGCCACUUUCAUCCACAUCCACCCUCUUCUCCUUUUUUAUCUCAUUGUCAUGCUUGUUAUUUUCGUAUAUUAUCCCAGACAUGCAUUUCACAAUGAGAAAAUAAUCAGUGGUUUCAAUUGCUUUUAUAUUUAUAUCAUCAAUGUUUCUGCAUAUUUGGUACACAAGAGAGAAGAUAGAGAAGACAUAAGAGCAAUAGAAUCUGCAGUCUUUUGCUUUAGACUAGCUAUAACUACAUUUUAAUUUACUUUUAAUUAGGAUGAGAUGUCUUCAUUGGAGCAUAUACAUCUAACUCUUAGGGCAGGUUUGGUACUACAUUUGAAAGGACUAAAAGUGCUUUCUGAAGAAGUCAUGAAUCAUUUUGAAGUGUUUUUCCAGUAAGUAUUUGGAUUUUUAAUACAAAUUAAUUUCAACGUUCUUCUAAUAAAAACACUACGCACUUCUCAAAAAAGGCUCAUAAGUAUAACUGCUUCCUAUAAAAGCAGUCUCACAUGAGCCCUUAGCUAUACUAAAAAUGGACAAAGAGUGAUGCAGUUCCCAGCUAGUUCCAAAUCACUUUAUUUAUAUUGAAGUUGAACAGCUCUUUAUAUCCAUUGGAACAUUCAGUCCAGGUUACCAAUUUAAAUACUAAUGUUUGGCUGGGUGGACAGAAUGGUGACGAGGUAUUGGUGGUAGGUUUUGAUACCAGAUAGAUAUUCAGCCUCUGAGAAUUAAAAACCGGAAUUAAGAACCUGGGUUGUGAUAUUUGUUUUCUCUAGGUCAUCAUAAGCCAGCAUGUUGUUUCUUCUUCUUUUUUGACCAAUUGAUAGGUUUAAGUUACAUCUUGGAUCCCCCUUUUUUUUUUUCUUUUUUAUUUAUUUAUUUAAAGGACGUUUCUUAUUGAUAGGGGCGAUAAUAUAAUAAACUCACACACACACUACACAGAUUAGGACUCGAACCCAUGACCUUGCCUGGGGGAGCAAUUACUCCAAACCACUACAUUAGCGAGUCCUUAAAUUUGCGGAUUUUGAAUCUUUAGAGAUUCAUGUAAUUACCAAACUUACUUGGUUAACUGAUCUUUAUAAUUCAAUGUUGGAGAGCAACUUAAUUUACGGCGAUGCUCUCUUACUCCCAAAUGCUGCAGAAUUUUUAUCAGUUAAACUUGAAGGGUUAAAUCACAGCCAUCUUAGAUUAGUUCUUGUUACUGAUCUCAACUCUAUUAGCAGCUUGUUUUGCUGAUUAAAUCUGUUUCCCACCAUGCAUCUUAUUUCUCUAACAAAAUAAAUUGGUCAUCGAUCACUUUCUUCUUCAUUGUUUUAACUCUUACUUAGCAGCUACGGUACCUUGGUAGGUCUGUUUAAUUAUAUAUCAGAUGACCUUAAUUCGCAUGUAGAAUAACAAGAAAUAAGCUCUGCCAGGUUGAAAUCCACUUGACAGAAAGCACAUUGCUGAAGUGAAGAGUAUAUAUAUAUAUAUAUGCCAAGAUUGGUUAUUUUGUUCGUUAAUUUGAAUUAUUUGGUUACGAAAUUUCAAGUUGGAUGCUUCUCUCCCUCUCUCUUUCUCUCUCUCUCUCUCUUUAGGGUGGAAAGUUUGGAUGCUUUAGUUAAGCUUAGUCGUUUUUUUCCUAAACUGUUUGUCUUAUAUGAUUAUAUCUACCAGAUGAUAGGAAACUGCAACAGUUUAGAAGAGAAACUUGAGAAAAUUUCAAUUUGAUUAAGAUGGUUCUACAUCACAUACAUGCAUGCCACUUUGAAUUACAAUUUGAAGGCUCUAAGUGAUCGAAGUGACAAAAAUUAUUCACCAUUCAUACUCUGGCCCAUUCAUUCUUGUAAGGCCAUCAGCUGCGCCAUAAUUGUUUCAUGUAGACAUGCUGAAGUUGGAAGGAAGAAGUUGUGUUUCUCGUAGCAGCAAUGCGAUUUACAAUCUAGAGGCUCGGAGUUCAUUUGAUCCGCAAUUCAAAAUAUUAAGCGUCUGUUAGUUCAUGUCCCAGAGGAAACAUGGACACUCCCAUCUAUUGCUAUCAUCUGGAGUCCAUGUCAGAUGACACAAAUCUGACUCUACACUGUUACAGUCCUGAUUAUAGUUUAUUCCACUUUGUUCGCUUGAUAAUUCGGAUAUCCAAUCUGAUAACCUGGUUUCGUACAGAGAAUUUGUCAAUGCAAAUUCUGAUAAACCAAGAUCAUCAAAGCAAGUAUCCUUGGCUCCACAUAAAUUUGAAACAGAGUCAUGGUGUUGAUUAAAGUUGUACUGUUUUUCAGCACUCAUAUCACCUUCCUGAAAGAAAAGACUUUGCUGGCCUUUCUUUGAUGUACAUUGGAAGUUUCCUGCAGACAGAGCAAGUGUUAAUAAUGCAGAGGAAAAAACUGUAAGUAGAUAAAUAACCUUAGCAGUAACAUAUAUCAGAAAGCAGAAAAGAAUGAUGAAGUUCUGUACCAUCUUGAAUUGGUUCUUUCUUCUUUAAAUAUGUCCUCCAGUAAUUCUUGAUCUCAUUAUCGGUUCUUCCUGGAAGCAUUCGAGCAAUCUUCGACCACCUACAUGACGGAUUUAGUUAGAGGACCACUUAUCAAAAUUGGUAAACAUAACUUAUGCACUUAGGCAGCAGUGCUAGUAGUGCAGCAUGAAGGUGGUAAUGUCAAACUUGAAUAGGUAAAGACAAGAAAAUUAAGAACCUUACUUGUUGCCCCAUCGUUCAUGAAGAUGAAGGAUUAUUUUCUCUUCUUCGACAGUGAUAUGUCCAUGCUUAAGAUUUGGACGGAGAUAGUUCAACCACCUCAUCCUGCAACUCCUACCACUCCUCCUUAGACCUGCAGCAUGUAAACAGAUUCUAAAUUUCUGUUCUCCAUAUAUGUAAACUGAGUUGUCUCCAAAAUUAACUAAUAAGAAUCACAUGUAAUGUACGUACCUGAUUCUUUCGCUAAAGCAUCCCACCUCCAAUUUCCAUUUAGAUUUACGUAGCCUGUGAGUCGUUCAUCUUCCUCUUCAAGCCAUGGACCUUUGCGCAGUUUUUCUCCUUCCAUGUCUGCUUGACAAGUCAUUAUUGGUGUGACAAACCAAGAGACAUUAAACCUUUAUAUACGAGAAGCAAAGGUAACUAGGAGUUGGAGAAAAGAGAAAAAAGAGAUGGUGAUUAGAACCUCUUACAUGCCACACUAGGUGGACACAUCACUAGUUUGUGGGAACUCCACCAUUGGUUUACAUAAAUUCAUGCUAAUAAGGUAACAAUUAGGUCAUCUAUGAAGGUGAACAGUUGAUAAUUCUUGUUCUAUCUCCCUUCUUGCAUCACAUUUUUUGUCUCUAUAAGCAGAUGUUGUCCUUCCAUGAAAAUUAUAUUAUUGAUUUUACUGCAGCAUAUAUAGAUAUUUAUUUUGUCUCUGCUUAUUUUAGAAAGUUAGCAGAGCAACAUUGCUAUAUGAUUGUAUAAAAAAGAGAGGAUAGAGAUAAUGUUUUGGAAGGUGGCCAAGUGAAGCAAGAUUUUGAAAUAGAUUAAUAGAUCUUGUGGAUACUUUUCAUUGGCAUAUCUGGAAACAACUUUGGACCGGCUGCACAUCACUUGAUCCUAGAGAGGAGGAAGGAUUUGUUCUCAAAUGAAACCAGAAAUGAUAGUCAAAUUUGAUAAUGAAAUUAGAAUUGUGUUGAUGAUAGCGAUUGGAUCCAAGAACUUGAUUUGGGGCUUUCAUUUAAUUCAAAACCAUUUUACAAGCUUCAAGGGUCAAGAGCAUAAGCUGCAUGCCAACUUUAUAUGCAUACAUUCGUGUGGUGCAUGUACAGUGAAGCGAAAGCGUUCAAAAAUAACAAAACUUCACAUUACUCAAAACCUCAUAUAAUUUAAAUUUAAAGUAUUAAUGUAACAUAUUGAACUAAAAGCAGUAGAGUUAUGGGGCCAAAACAACAUUGAAAAAAGGGAACUCCUCAUGCCACAAUCCAAAACAAGAACCCUCCCGCGUCUGAUCUAUAGAUACUAGGAACUACGUACACCUUAACUGCAGAACAAGCAAGAAGGCGACACAAGGGGAGAUCUUAUUAUGUCAUUCUUCCUGAACCGGCUUCUGCUGACUGCAAGUACUUGUCCUCUUGAUAACAGGAAUGCAUGCACUAGCGAUCUAUGAAUGAUUUAUUCAUGAGAUUGACAGCAUCAUCCAUGAACUGCAUCAUAGACAUGACAAAUGUGUUAAUUAAAAAGUCCUUUGCAAAUAUGGAUUUUCAUGUUUUAUGUAUGAAAGCAUAGUUUGUUGUUUCCCGUCAAAACUAAGUACUUGACAAGAAUCAAACAAGAGUACACCACCAAUUAUCAACAACAAAUAGUGGGAACUACAAUUUAAGAACGAGGACUCAAAGAAAGGGUGGAGCAUAAAGUAUUUUCUUGCUCAUUCACUUCAGAACAAGUGAAGGCAUAAAAUUUACAGAGAACUUUUAAUUUAGCACUAUAAAUCUUCCACUAGUCAGCUAUAACUAAAACCCAACCUCCUUCCACCUUGUAACAAAAAUCAUAACUUUUUAGGAAAACCAGGUCUAGUCUGCAUACACUAGGCCACAGCCUGAAAAGACAAGCUGAUUAAUUUACAGAAUGCUUAACCACAGAAAACAUUUGGCAGCAAUGAAAUAUAUGCAUGUAUCCAGUUUUGAAUUUCAUUAUGGUGCUGUGUGAAGAUCAUUUUCAGAAUUUUUAUGGCAAUUUGACACAAAAGAAUUAAUUUUUAUUUCUUCAAAUGAUACAAGAGAACAAAAUGGCAUGAUAUUAUUUUCAGCAAAUCUAACCAGGCAAACCAGGAAUGUUCUGUCACAAGCUGGUUUUAUUAUUGGACAAAUUUCAUUUUAUUCGUACUUUUUCCAUUCCAUGAAAUUGGGAACCAAUUCAUCAGCAAUUUAAUUUGGGGGCAGCACCGUUUCUCAAGGGCAUUUGCACUUUAUUUAUUUAUGUAUUUAUUUUUGGUCUAAAGCUAUCUGCUCUCAUUACCGAGUCAAGAAUGUUAACUCCAAAAGGUGAAAACAGAUAUGAAACAUGGAAAUUUACCUUUCCAAGCUGCUUGAGCUCUCGUCCAACUGGUUCCAAAAAUUUCAAGUUAACUUCAAUAGGCCAUACCUGCAUGAAAAUCAGGGAUCAAUUAAAAGAAUAAUAACAAAGAAGCACAAGAGGCAAGGUAUACAUAAUAAUAAGUAAAAACUUGAUAUAUCUAUGACACGGGCACAAUAUGCAAAUCAAAGCAUUAAGAUUUCUCUAUAUUUUGCAUUUUGAAACACCAUCUAUCAAAUAUACUAUUCAAGCACAGGAUCUGCCUUCCUAAAAGUACAUGACUAAAUACACCUCCAGAGAAGCAGAAUACAUAAUUAUACAAAACAAUUCCAGACUUUUAAUAAAGUAAUAAAAUUUUACGGGUAACAUGAGAUAGAGAAAAAAGAUAAGACCCUAGUUAGAACAUAAAGGCAAUUUCUUAUGGUACAAAGUUCGAACUUUACAAUGAGCACCUGGUUUAAAGGUUAAAAAAGAACAAAAGGCAAACGAACAACAUUGGCGCCAAGAAGAAGCAGAAGUUUCUAUUCUAAAUGUGCAUAGUUAGCAUAACAUAUAUACGAGGAAAACAUAUAAUAACAGCCAUAGCACUCUACCAAGAAUUUACAGCCAGCAACUAUUGGCGUGUACUUACUACUUAUUCGCAUAUGCCACCAUAGUUGCACACACAACCCACAUAAUGCUCAAGUUAUUUGUGAACAUAAUUGAAGAAUCGCAUUACUUACAUACAAAUGAGGAAAAUUGAACUAACCCAUGAAACCAUUGGUCAAAAUUUGGGAGCUAAGAAACUUAUUGAAGGCAGAAUGAACCAAAUAAGUUUGCAUAUAUUUUAGUGAUGAAAAAAAAGAAAAAGAGUAGGAGGCAACCUUGACACCAAGUAACUUGAUAGGUGUAACUUGUCCCGGGACAAUGCACUCAGGGCCUGCUGCUUCCACUAUGGCUUCCAUUGCUAACCCACUUCCUACCGGGUUCGGGUGCUGCAAAAUUAGACUUUUUUACGAUGACCCAGAGGAGAAAGAUAAAUAAUAAAAAAACAAAGCAAUUACAAGUGUAGAAGGAGAGUGAGGUGUGUGAGAUAGAGAAAAGGAACCUUCAUGACAGAGAUGGCAUAAUUGGAAGUAGGGUUCUGGGUUAUUCGGAGAACAGGGGAAUGGUGAAUUUUGGGUAUGGGUUUGGUGUUUGAGGCCCUCCAAGGCACGUCCUUUGGCAGUGAAGAACCACCUCCUCCUCCUUUACGGGACAUGCCCUUCUUUCGUAGAGAGAGAGAGUCUGUGUGUCUGAUUUUGAGUUGAUGAUGAAUCGAUGCUGAAGAAGCCACAAGAUGAUGGAUAAAUCGCUCAGGACCUGAGGUUUGUAUCUUUUGGAGCGGCCUCUGUUUUUUCCUUUUCUUGUUUUUGAUUUGUGGGGUUUUCUAAUUUGUGACUAAGAGGUAGGGGAAAAUGAUAUAUCUUUAUUGGACGCUUUUCUUUUUGUCAUACAGAAAUAAAAAUAAAAACCUUUCAAUUCCUAAUUUCUUUUCAUAAUUUUAUUUGCUUUACAUCAGGAAUUCCUUCUUAGUAUUUUGAUCUAGAAAAAUUGUUCUUUCGAAAAACUUUGCAACUUUGCAUAGAACAGGUCAAAGCCUAUAUAAAUUUUCAGAAAACUAAAAGAAAAUUCCUUUUUUUGGAAAAUACACGAUCUGUAUUUGGAUCAUAUCUUAAUCUGUUAGUUUAUCUCCAGUCUCUCUAUUUCUCUUAAGCUCUUUUUGAAACACAUAUCAAAAAUACAAAAUUACACACAUUUAAAUCUCACAACUUUUGACAAAGGACCCACUAAUUUAGUGAUUUGAAGUAUUUACUCCUUCAGAUAAAGUCUUGAAUUCAAGUACUAGCAUUCAUAUAGUGCAUGUGAGUUUAGUAUAUUAUCCCUUUCUCAAUAAAAAAGGUCUUAAAUAAAAUAAAAAUUUCUCACAACUUUUGGGACGCUUCUUUAUGUAUUGGCAUAAUUUCACCUAACUAAUCUGAAACGCUUGGAGGGGGGAAAAAAAACACCUCAAAAAAUGUUGGGGGGGGAAAGUGCACAAUAUAUUUCACAAAUAAUUCUUAAUCUGCAGCAUAUUGCUAACAAAUUCCGUACAUCUUAAAUUACAUUUAUCACUGCUUCUUCUGAUAUUUUCAAUGAUUGGAACAGAGAUCAAAAAAUUAAAAGACAAAAAUUAUAUAUUAAAAAAGAAUACCACCAAAAUGAGAGGAGAGGAUUUAUCUUCAACCCAUCCAUGCAUUUUCCAAUUGCGGGGGCACAUGAAACCCUGGUUGAUCAUUUAGGCUGUAACCAUAUCAUCUUCCCCUCUCUGUGCUGCCGCAUCUGCCAGUUUUUUCCAUGUCAACUCCCGCUGUUCUUCCACCUCUCUGGACCUGGCCUCUCUCUCCGCAAGCUGCCUCUGGCACUCUUCAAACAAGUCAGCAUCCAUUUCCAAAAACAUUUUUCGAACAUUGACGGUCAGCCCAUGAACUGCUUGGUUCCAGUGACUUUGGAUAUUCCUCUCCAAUGCCUCAAAAAUAAUUGGUAGAGUGACAUUCCGGUUCUGAGCAAUUAAACCCACAAUGUGCUCAUUAUUCCACAGAAAGAGUGCUCGUUCCGCAACCUGCAUUGCAAAUGUGACUAAGCAAAAUUUUCAAGAAAGGAUAUUCUUAGAGUAAAAUACAACUUUAGAAGUUUUGAUUUGGAGUCUGAUCCUCUCACCAAUUCAUUAAUGAUGAACAUUUGGAAACAUUAGUACAAAGUCCUAACAACAUUACUCUUACCAGAUCAACACAAGUUAUUGCAAAAUUAACAAACAUUACAUUCAUAUAGUCCUAACAACAUGUCCCUUCACCAAAUUAACACAAAUUACUCUUAUCAGAAAACUUGCUUCAAGCCAACAACAUUCAUAACACAAGACAGGAACCCAAUUAAAAAUUUCCAAUCUUUUACCUCCUUAAUUCUUUUCAUUGACAUUUGUAACUUGUUUAAUAGAAUACCAAAAUAUAGCCUCACGCGCAGCACUAAGCACAUGCAUAACAGCAAGCACAAAAGUUGACAAAAUUCCAAAAUAUAUAAUUCAUAAAAAUGAAAAGUGGAGCACUUUAGGUUCAAAUCGUUGCUGCAGUCUAGAAAAACUAGUUGCAUAAAUAUCAAUGGUAAAGGGAAAAAGAAAACCUACUGCUGAUGAUGCUAAAUAAGAAUAAGUCGGGCUGUUUCAUUGGAUCAUUACAUAUUGGUGCCAGGUUUAUUUAUAACAAUUCAUGCAUGGAUCAAUAUAGAACGUAUUUCACAGAUCAGGAAACUUAUCAGCAGAAAGCUAAAUAGGGAUGGACGGAAAUCACCAAAACAAUGUCAAACACAGCAAGCAUAUUGAAAGUUAGGUUAUCUAAGGUGAACCAUUCUAGGAUAUUUCCCACCUAGUUGUGUUUUUUCCCCCUAAGGUUGACACUGCAUGCUUUCAGUUAUCUUAUAAUGGUUCUUGAUGUGAUAAGUAUCUAACUACUUCACCCAUAUCAAGUUAUAUGGCAUCUAUUCCUACAGACAGAGUACAAGUUGAUCUCUCAUUCCAUCCACUUUAUCGCAGCCUAUCUGCUUAUUCAAUAGAAAACCAAAAUGUCAAAAACACUAGCAUUUUUAACGUACUACAUGGGCAUUUCUAAGAAAUUAGCAUAUCAAAGAUCUUUCCCCAUGGGAGAAACACGCAAGUAAACAUUCAUUUGGUCCCCACUAUAACAGAUUGGAACUCUCAUUAGCACAUUAUCUGCAACAAAAGGACUAGAAAUAAGUAAAUUUAUCAAACAAGGAUAAACAGAUUAAGGCUGCAGCCUCAUGCAGAAAUAGAAGAGUACUAGUUUCAGAAAGAUUUUGGAAACGGGUUACAAUAAAUGUUCUCUAUGCAUAAGCAAAUGCGAGAAUAUAACAUAAUAUGGCACCUUUCACAAACAGCAGCAGUUUCCAUUUGUGAAACAUGUCAUAUGAAGAAACAGCUCAAUCCAUCAAUAACAUGAAAACAUAAUAUAAGUACAAUGAAAGCAUAACAAAAUAAAAAAAAACUGUGAAUUCAGAAAAAGAAAAUGGAAAGGUGAAACUUCGGACCUAGCAGAAACAGAAAAAUGCCAGUAAGUUAUAUUCAUAAAAUAAACAGUGAAAACAAAUAUAUCAUUGGGAACCAUUUGUCUUAAACAAAUAAGUUAAAGAAUUAGUUUAAAGCUUCAGCAAAAUGAAGCAAACCCAAUAAAAUUUGCAAAGAUUCCCAAACCUGGAAAUGAGAGCUAUUGAGGCAGCGAGCAAUCUGUCUGAAAAGAGGAACCAUGCAACGCUGAAAUUCAGCAGCUUGUGUAGCCUCCAGAACUUCUUCAAGUUCUCCAAGGAAAAGAACUUCCUUCUGGCAAUUGGUCAGCGGCCAGUAUUUCAACAGACCCCUAACAACCGUAUCUGCCAAUUUGUAAUCCUUUUCAACAAAUUGGGUUAUGCAGUAGGACAGCUGCUGAUGAUAAACUGCAAUUGACUUCGGCUUAUGCAGCGGUAUAAGUGCCCGAACAAGAAAUAACUUAUGCUCCUCUUUCAUUGGUAGUGCAAACCCAUUAAUUAUGCUCCCAAGAAUCUCUAAAAGCUCAGCAAUGCCGCUGUGCCUCUCAGUCUCAUAAAUAAACCGAUAGAAUAUGUUAUUGAUGGCUUUCCUGAUGAAGGGUCGGUGCACCAUGAACUUCCCAUAUAUUCGGUGAAGAAUGUUUUUCAAGUACUCACGCUCACGCGGGUCCUCAGAGUCAAACAAAUCUAGUAGCUUCAACACAAACGAGUGAUCAAUAUAACGCUUGGCAACCUUGGUAUCAGUAUCAGAUGACACAAUGUACCUAAGAAGGAGCUCAUAAACCAACUGCAAAUGAGGCCAUGAUGGCUCCAAAUAAAGCUCCUCCUCUUCAGGAUCGGCAUUCUCUUGGCCCGUGUUUUCAUGAGACGCAGGGGGCAAGCAACGAAAUAUAUUAACAGAAACCAUUUUGAUCAUCUCCUCUUGACAUGUCUCGGUGAUCUUACCCGACCCAGAUUGUAUGAAAUCAACCAAUUCCAAAAGGGUUUGACGCUUAAUUUCCUUUUCUCUAGGGGUCUUAAGGGUAUCAGAGAAAUCAAAUUGAAAGCAACAAACCUGCAAUUUGCGAAGAAACAGGGUCUGGCGUUCGGAGACGGGAGCGUCACGGAAGAACGGGAGAGGCUCGAUGGUGCCCGAAGGCGGUAACGCCGUUAUCCCCGGAGCCCCACCCGAAUUGGGACCUGAAGCAGCCGGCCCGGCCCGGGACGCGUGGUUUACGACCACAUUCGCGACUGCCCCGGAAUUUCGGGUACCCGGCGGGCCGUACCCGUAGGACGAAGGAUCAUGAGAAUCGGACUUGGAGGGCUUCUUGUUUCCCUUGAUGAUCUUCUUGAACAUAAUUUCCCAAUUUUCCCAAUGCAGCAACGAGUCCUAAACCCUAGAAUUGGGGGUGGGGAUCGGAUUGGAAUCAAAACGAGCUCGGCGAUGUUGAAAAAAAAACGAUUGGCGAUCAGAUUCAGCAUGCAUGGAACAACAACCCCAGAUUCUCAAUCAAUCAAUCAAUCCCUGCAACUCUUAUUCAAUUUGUGAUUUCUGCGUCGGAAGACGAAACUGAAACUGAAAAGGGGCGUGGGGAAGCGAAGAAAUGUACCGUCUUUGGAGUUUCGAAUCGGAGAGAGAUGUGGGUGGUGGUUGGUGGAUCCGAAAUGAAAGUCAUCUGAGUCGGAUCGCCGGAAUGCCGGCGACUUGAUCGGACGGUGGUCGUUCCGGCGAUCAACCCGAUGAGAGAGAAAGCGAGGGAGAGAGAGAAAGAGAGAGAGUGUACGUAUGUGUGUGUAUGGAAGUGGAGGGCGGAUAAUUAAGGAAAAUGAGAAAAUUAAAAAACCAAGAAAAGUUUAAAACAGCAAAAAUGGGAAUGAUUGCAAAAACGCCCUUUAUAAAUAAUUAAAAAAAACACACUGACACUUGUUUAUUUAAGGAAUAAUUUGUAUUUAUUAGUUUUUUUUUUGUUGGGAAUUAGUUUAACAAAAAAAAAUUAGUUUAGUUUAGUUUUUUAGGUUUUCGGUUAUUUCGCACGUGGCGCAUGAGUGAAGGAACUGAUAAAUCUGAAAAUAUGAGCCGUGUUUGUUUUUUUUAAUUUAAAUUUAAAUUUUUGGUAUUAAAAUCUGAGAUGUGUGUGUUGUUUUUCAGGUUGGGGGGAUCUUACCAUGUUUAUGUUUCCUUAACCUUGGAUGGAAGUUUGGGUUGGAUCCUUGUAGGUGUUGGUGGGCCCCCACUGUUUCGAGGAUAAUGCUGAGGGCAAAAAAUAGUAAAGUUCCUAUUUUUAGGUUGGUUCUAAUUUUGUGUAAUUUGCUGGGUGGUAUCCAAAAUAGAAAAAAAAAAAAAAAAAAAAAAAAGCCAAGCAUCUCCAAAUUUUAUUGUUAUCUUUUGUAUUGGAUAUAUUAUAUUAUCCAUAGGGAAAUCCAAUUAGCAUAAUUUUUUUCCUUAUGCGAAAUAUAACGAAGGUAUUUAGAUCAAAUUGAAUAUACUUAAAUUUUUGUAGAUUCUUUAAAAAGUUCGAAUUGAAUACUUUAGAUUUGUAAAUUUCUUUGAAAUUCAUUAAAAUCACAAUUAAAUCCUCCUUAGGUGGGUGGCCUCCAUUUCUCUCCUCAUCCCCUUCCUUCCCCUCCUUAUCCUAGACCUUUCCAUGCCCUCUCCACUUUUGAUCCUCGCUCAUCGCCUUUAAUGCUUCCAUCUUAACUGAGUUUGGUGGUUAUUUGGCUAUAUCAACAACAACGUGGUAGUAGAUCAAGUUUUAUUUUACUUGUUUUGUGUUGUAGUUUUUUGAGUUGUAAUAAGUGUAUUAACUCUUUCUGAGUUUGUUGCAUGUUUUCUAGUCUCUACUAGUAUUUUUCACUUGUGAGAGUUAAAGGGUUGCAGUUUUAGUUCAAAUUUGGUGCAAUGAGAUAUAUGUCUGGUUUUUCCAAGCUUAUGGCUUUUUUGAUGGAAUUUCUUAGGUCGUGUGUGGCUAUGAGUGGAGGUACAACUUGUGCACUUGUUAUUGAGAUGGACUCCUCCGUAUUUGGAUUAAUCCUUUGUAUUAACCUUAUGAGGUUAUUUAUUUUGUCUUUGUGACUCACAACCUUUCGACCUGAAUUAUGAAUACAAUUUAUCGCCUUUCUCUCAAAAAGAUCCUAAUAUCAUUACUUCUUAUGUGGCUCACUAGGAUGAAAACACAUGUUAUCUUAACCUAUUUAAACAAUUAACCAAAUAUCUUCCUAACCAAAUACCAAACUCUCCCAUUUUCAUAUCAUUGGCCCACAUAAAAAAGUAAGGAUAUCGUGGUCCUAAAUACGACCCAAGUAUUUUCACCCCAAACAUACUUUAAAAAUUCAAUCCAUUAUGAAUCACGAAUUUUUUAAGCAAUGACAUGAAUGGCACAGUUUUGAGUUGAAUUGUAGGCAAGAAAGAAAUUGAUUUUUUUUUCAAUGAAAUGAUUAAACCAAAAGAGUUGUUUGAUUAGAUAAACACCAUCCACGUCAAGGUCAUAAACACACAACCAGAAAUUAACGCUGCUAUGAUUGUUUCAAUUAUAGGACUUGACUUAGUGAUUGAAGGGCAGGUUUUAUUUUUUUAUUAAUCAUAUUUUGGGACAGGAUUAUAUUUGCUUUAAAUUUAUAAUCCGCAAUAAAACUCCUCAUUUUGUCAAAGUGCAUGGGAAAGGAAUUUUAGUACUAAAGUGGACCCAAAUUUGACAAAAACUGAUUGGAUGCGACUUUCAAGUCUUUAAUUUAUUGAGAGUAGAUAAGAUAAUUGUAAUAAGUCAAAUUUCUCACCCAAUUAUGUGAAGCUUUGGUCAUUAGCAUAAUUUUUUUUUUCUUUUCUUUUGAAUACAAGCGAUAGUUUAAACUAUAAGUCAAUGUCAUUUUUCACUGAAUUAGACAUCGUUGGCUAAUAUUCUUUAUCUUUGUGCGAGAAUCAAUUGGUUAGAAACAACCACUUUAGUUGGAUAUAUUUAUCUAAUAAAUUGGUUGGUUAAAGGCUAAACAAGCUAAGAAGAUUCUUAAUUUAGUACUUUAGUAGGGAUUUCCUAGAUAUUCCUUGUUUUGGAAAUGCAUUAUUAAUUAAACUUCAAAUUUAAGGUACACAAAAGGAAGCAUACAACAAAAAUUAGAAUUUUUUUUUGGUUGAAACGAUAGGAUUUUAUUUAGGAGAUGGAGUAAUCAUUACAAAGAAUUGACUAGGCCCUAGGAGAUUAGGCGAGCAUCUCUACACAUAAGAGUUCGGUAAUCAAACUACCCGAUAACCUACCCUCUUCCCGCAUAGUGAUCAGAGAGAACAGAGCGGCCCCCUUCUCUGGGUCUCCUUAGAAGUCCUUAGCCAAAAAAAUUGGAAUUUUAGUUUGAUUAUAAAGGCCAACCACCUCAACCAUGAAUUAGAACCUUUUCGUCUCAGCAGAAUCUGGAAAAAGGGAAAAUCCAAGAUGAUGCAAAUGUAAUCGUAUAUAGAUGUGAAACCAAACACAUCGUCCAGAGCCAGACUGAAAUCAUGUAUUGAAGUUGGUUUUUCAUUUUGGGUUGUGGGCUAGGGCCAGGAAAAUUCUUUUGUGAGCUUUUAUUUAAUUUUGGGCCUCGGUGCACCAAAAAAGAAAGAAAAAGAAAGUGUUUAGGCUUGAGGAUUUGUGGUUAAUCUUGGCCAAUUAUGCAUCUAAUGAUAAUCCUCUUUUGUCCCAAAAAAAUCCAGCACUGAUUAUUGUAUUCACAAACUCUAUAUAUGCAUGGUCAUUUCGCCUUUUUAAUUUUGUUUUUUCUGUCGGGUUCAAAUAUUUAAUGUUGACUCACGUGUUUCCUUAACACAACCACCACUCCACCAAUGCACCCAGACCCAGUGACCAAUAUCUGAUCUAGUGAUAUGUAGUGGCAAUAUAUCUGUAUAUAUAUUAUGCACAUGUUCAUAAAUCAUGCACAAAGUGUUAAGACUUUAGAGAGAUUGAUAGAUGGUCCACUACUAUCGGUGUUAGAUUUAGCAUAAAAUGCAUCGAUGUUAUUAGUAGUGAAGUUACUCGAUAUACAUUGUAUUUUAUUUAGUUAAGCUUUCGAUAUAGUAUUCUUGCAUUUUUCAACACAAACUUAUACUUUGAAAUACUAAAAACAUGUUAACUACUAUUUUCAUAUCAUUUGAAAAAAAAAAAGAAAAAGGAUGAAGAAUAGUUUUGGGCAAGGUCCAUGUAGCUAGUAGAUUUUUGAGCUAAGAAGAGAAAGCUGAUCCUGAGAGAACUGCUUUGUCUAUUUUGUAAGAGGGCCAAGGUAGAUUUUUACUCACUCAUCUAUGGAUUGAGGCAGCUCAUUAUAGCAUUGCACAGAGUUGAAGAAGAGAAAAUCCCUUUCUUGUUAAAAGUGGUAAAAUUUCAUGCAUAGAUGGGAAAUGGACAUUUUACCUACCGGAGACAUGUGAUUAGGCAAAUUAAUUGAUGGUAUUAUAAUUAGGUUAAAUUGACAGUUUGAGGUAAUAAGUAGGUACGCAAAUAUGAAUUAAUUUAGUUGACGAAGACAAUGUACCCUGCUCCGAGUUUGAAUAAGUAGGGUUACAUUGAAAGUUUGGAUGAAGAGUUCCCAAAAACAAAAAGAGUAUAAUUAAAGAACUGUUCACAAAGACGCAAGCUGGUGCUGUGGGGAUAACUCAUAUGACAGAAAGCAAUGAGAUUGUGAGUUGUUUUCUUGUCUUAUGUAUGAUUGGUGCUCUGUGGGGUUACAAAUUAAGAACUUGAGGCACCGAAAAGUUGCCCCAAAAAUAUUGAUGGUUUGAUAUUAAGCACAGUGGGAAUGAAUGGUGGGCACAACUUUUGUUUUCAUACAAAACCGAGGCAAGGAAUUCAAAGCACACCGCCUAAAAGUGUCUCCAAGCAUAAUGGCGAAAGCUCCUUUGUCCCUUUCCUCCUUCCUCCAAAAUACCCUACUUUUCCCAAAACGUCAAAAAGGUAUAAUUGCACGCUUACAAGUUACGUGUCCUAUUGUGUGCUUCUGUGUGGCAUAUUUCACAGGCCGAAUUUUGAAAAUUAUUUUUUCUAUCACAACUGGUUAUGUACAACUAUGUGUUUAUUUAUGCUCGCAUCACAUAAACGACAUACUGAUGAAUGACAACAACCUACAGAAAAAGAGCACUAUUGCUGCCAUUAAUUAAUGAGUGGCAGCUGGGAAUUUUUGAUCCUACUUGAACCAAGAAAGAGAGCAAAUUGGAGGUUUCUGCAAAUAUUUGAAGAGACUUGUGAGGCUGGUGGAAUAAGAGAACAAGUUGGGCAAAUGUUGUUAUAGCUAAAGGUUGCAAGUGCCUGAAGUUAGCUUAACUAAGAGACAAACUAGAGUUGUAGUUUGGUCCAGCCAAACCUAGAACUGGGCAAUCUAUUGCUUCUAUGCAGUGGGUUUCGCUCACAAGAGGCCAAGGAGGAAAUGGACAAGAGGAAUUCAGAUUCUGUCAUACAACUGGCAAAAUGGGUCAAGGCCAUAAUGGCAUAGUCAACAAUACUUAAUCUUUUGGGAUUUAUUUAGCUUUUGGAAAAAGAAACAAAUUUACUGAAAACAUUAUCAAAAUAGGAGGGAGACUAGCUAUAUCAUUUUUAAGUGACAUGUUCUAAAUUGCUAUACAAAAGCACUUUAAAAAGAAAACCAUUUUAAUUGCUUUUUGGAAAAGAAAAGUACAAGCACCCUAUUGAAAAACCAUCCCUAUAGUUUAUUUGCUUCUAAUACUAUAACUAAAUUCUAAUUAAGAAAAUAUAUUAAUGAUCUGAAUUACAAUGUUUGAAGAGAGAGAGAUCAUGUUUUUUUCCUUUGUAAAUUAUUUCCAUAGAAAAUUACAAGAAGAUGCUGAGCAAUUAAUUAGCCACCUCAUUGAUUUUCCCCUGCCCUAUUUUUCAAAUCCAAGUUGGUCUCUGAACCUUGUGGUGCUGCAGAGGAGGUUGAACUUGGAGCAGCAGCAGUAGCAGCAACAGCUGCUUUGGCCUCUAUUUCUGUCAAAGGCACCAUGCCACUUGAAGCAGCUACAUCAGAUUCAGCUGCCUCAGCUGCCUCUCUGAACUUCUUGUAAAUAUCACUUCUAUAAAAUUUCCUAGUCCUGAUCACCAAAAUAAAUGAAACAAGGCUCCCAAACAAAGCCACUGCAGCCAUUAUACAGAAAGCCAAUCUGUAACAAGGCACUCCUUCACAAGUCAAGUCCUCACCUGCUUUCCUAACCUUACCCAAAGCUUUCAGCUGCUUCAAGGCCUCUGCAUCAUAUAAAUUACCAGCCACUUUCACAUUCAGAAGGUAAGCCCCAAUAGGGCUAGCAGCACCACCAACAUUGAUCAAAGUGGCAUAGUAUUUGAGGCCAAAGAUUUCUGAAAUGAUGGCAAAAAUCAAUGGCCAUUGUGCCCCAAAACAGAACCCAAUAAUCACAGAAGCAACGUAGAGAGAGUUGGGGACGCCAAAUGCGAUUAGAAGAUGGCCAACGCAUGAUAAAAGAAGCACAAGAGUGAGCAAGAGGGGACGAGGGAACUUGUACUUUUUCAAAAGGACUUCUGAAGAGAAGCCAGAGGUAACUCUUCCAAGGUAAUUCCAGAUGCUUACCAGAGAUAUAAAAGUGCUUAUGCUGUGAGUUGGGUAGCCUAAUGAGCCCCCAAUCUGACCCAAGUUGUCGAUGGCGGUUAAUGUCCCACCGGCACCACAGGUUAUAGCAAUGAACAAGAUCAACAUGUCAAUGCUGAAAACUGCUUGCAGUAUGGUGUAGUCCUCACCUCUAUCUGGUGGCCUGAAAACAUUUUGCAAGCAAGAAUUUGGCUUCUGCUGGGUUUGUGGAGAUGGUGGUGCUGCAACAGGUGGCAGGGCUACUUGAACAGGAGGAGCUGGAUUCUCAGCUACUACUUUGAGCUGAGAUUGAUCAUUCAAUGCUCUCAUUUUGCUCUUCCAGAUUUUGAAUUCUUCGAAAAUAACAACGGCGAGCGGAAGAAAGAGUAACACAAGCACAACUGAAGCACUUCCAAUGUACUCAAUUCUUGAAAAUCUCAGUUUGUGUUGUAUGAUAAUUAAAAACAUGAUAAACCCAGCUAGGCCAAGAGUAACGUAGAGAAGAUUGUAGAAGACCCUGAGCUCAUUCGGUUGUCGAACAACCUUCAACAAUCGGAUUAUUGGAAGAAACACCAUUGAAACAGCAGCUGGAAGCCAACCAAUUAACAAGAUAAGAGCCUUUGAGUCGCGACCAUAGAAAGCCAAGAAGAGCUGUGUAAUAAUUGCACCACUUAGGCCAACAAGUCCCUUCAAGAGCCCCAAAACACUGCCUCUACUCUCCGGGAAAUUCUUAACACAACUCACUACAGCACCAGUGUUUGAAAAUGUCUGAGAAUUUGCACCUAUGCAAAUGUACAAACACAUCUGCCACACCCGGGGCUUCGACGUUCGACCAGUCACUGCUAGCCAUAUCAUGAAGUACCCGAAAAAGUUCAUGACUGCACCGAUUAACAGGACCACCCACGGAGCUGUGAACUCGUUGAUGAGGCCGGCUAUGACCCCAACAUUGCCCCCCAAGUCCUUGAAGAAGCUCAGCAAAUUGAUUGUUGUUUGGUCAUAGCCUAGAGAUUUUUUGAUGUCAUUGGAGUAGAGGGCAAACAUGUAUGUUGCUCCAGCCACUGACAAGAUCAACAUUGAAGCAAAAACCAUGAACCAUCUUCCAUGGACAACUUGCAAGCCAAAGCUCCUCAUCUCCUUGUGGCCUAAACCACCACCACCAAAACUGAACUCAGCCACCACCAUUUUUUUUUCUCUUCUUCUUCUUCAAAACAAAAGAAUUUCCGACACAGUUGGGGUCUUUAAUUAGUGGUUACUUAGUACCAUUUGUACACACACACACACAUAUAUAUACAUAUAUACAUGAACACGAGAGAUUUGGCUGAAAGGGAGGUGGGAAAUGAAUAAGGAGUUUCACAUUGACUGGAUAGUUGACCUGCCACUAGGAAUGGAUGAAAGGCUCUCUGUGAAGAGUAAAAGAUAAGGUGGAGACUUUGGGUUCAACCUGUCCAUCUUUUGUGACAUGUGUCUGCUGUUAGAAAAAGCACUUCUUGCACAAACGAACCAAAUACAUACACAAAUUGGAUGUGGAUGAUUAUUUUAUUAGUUGAUCCAAUUAAAGAACAUGCGAAUUGGAUGACUGAUUUAGGAGUUUUGGUGGUUACAUCACACCCAUUGUGAACAGAAUCAUAUGAUUAGCACGAGCAAGGAAAAUCAGAGGUGAAUAUAUUCUUUUCACUGUCAGUCAAAAUUCAAUAUUAGACAAACUUACUUCGCUUUGUCCUGUUCUCUUCCAGAUUCCCAACUCCAGAUCCAGGCCCCCAAAAAAUCUUCAAAACAAAUUAAUUUAGCAUCUUGGAAGAGUGACAUGUCGGUAGAAUAAUAUUAGGGACAGUUAACGACGUGAUUAUAGGGCAAUUAAGUGAAUUUUACAAUGUAUCAACGACUGACAACAAAACAUAUUUACUUAUUUAUCCUCCUCAUUAUGUAUAUUUGCUUCUAGAUGGUUUGGACCUGACCCUUCUAUCUCAAUCUGAUGCACUUAGGUGGAAGUCGUAAAAGCAAAGAUCAGAAUCAGCCCAAGCAAGGGCCUUUCAGAACCACUUGGAGAAUGAAAUGAAUCAACCAUUCCCCAAAUCAGUUUCCAGGUGCAUGAAUAAUGUAUUUAUCACUUGUGGUCCAGAGUUUUGCCUUAGAAACUCAUUGUGCGCAUAAACUUUCCAAACCCAAAAAGAAAGAAAGCGCAAAUUCAUGGACCCUCCUGAAUUUUCUGAUGGCCAAGGAAGCAAUUGGCUUUGCCUAAUGGUGACCUCACUAACUGCAUCAUACCUUUAAAGAGCAAAGACUUGGGUAAAAAAUGGAAGCCCGUCUUUCAGGAAAAUGACAAGAUAACCAUGGCAAUAUGGCAUGUGAUUUGGCUCUAUCUUAUGUUCCAAAGCUUGUCUGUUACCAGCUUUGGAUAAGGGAAAUGAGAUAUUAUUUGAGUGGGUUGAUGAUUUAGUUACACAAUCUUAUAAUUGAUAUGAUACGAAUCAAAACACGCAAGUUGAUUCGGAUUAACAAUUGCUUAAUAUAAAACUAAAAAAAUAGCGUGAUAGGUGCUAACACAAAUGCUAAAUGAAUUGUGUUAACAUCAAAUAAACAUGUAUCAUGUGAAUCUUUAAUUAUUAAACCGAUGAAUUUUUAUUAUUAUUAUUAUUAUUUUCUUCUGUUAGUUUGAAUUAGUUUGGGUAUAAGAUGCAUAUUAUUAAACUUCAAAAUUAGGGUUGAUUAGUACUAGACCAGUAGGAGAAAACCCCAAAAGAACACGAAUCAAACACAGUUCGAGUCAAUCCAUGCAUGUAUUCAAAUGGACACGCAAAGCUGCGUGGUUGUUUUGUGAUCAAAUUCCAAAUGGAAUUUGAAUUGCAUUCGUAUAAUUUGACACUACAAUCACGUUAGACCACACAAUGAAUGUUUGGUUUUGUGUAUUCAAAGAUACCAUCACAUGUGAGUUAUUGGAGGAAGGUCGAUAACUUUCCUAGUCAACUACACGUGUCCAUUAGUGGGGAUUUAUGUCUUAGUUGAUUCACAAAGCCCAUGUGGCAAGGGCCAGCUGGGUUGGAAGUUUCAAGCCUUAUAGCCCAAGCAAAAAUAGAAUAACAUUUUCGAAAGGCCCAAGUGGAAAGUGCGGACUGGGUCGGGAAAGAAAGAGCUCAAUCCAGAACUAUUAAUAUAAAAAGUACUUACGCUCAUAAGCGUUUUUAAUGUUAUAUAUACAUAACAAAGGUACAAGUUUCACAACUUCUAUAUGGCGGACGGAUUUUAUGCAUGCCAAUUAGUUCUUCGUCUAGUGACAUUCAGUUUCUAUUUUGUUAGACGACAAAUUUUAAUAAAAUAAAUAAAACAAAGUUUAUUUAAAAUAUAUGUAACGUGGUCGGCAAUAACUUUUGUAUAUGUGCUCAAGCUAUCCAAGAAACAGUCUAACAAUUGGACGGCCAAGAAAUCUAGGUACGUAGUAUUAUAUUGGAUCACAUGAUAGCCAUGAUAUACAGAAUACUAGCUUUUCUUGUUUGUUGGAUUUUUUUUUUUUCAUUUUUUUAAAUAUUUUGAAGACUGACACAGGAAAGGCCUAAACGAUUAGUCAAAGGAGAGGUCACCUUUCUACAUAUAUAUAUAUAUGUGUGUUUUUUCUUUUAAAAAGCAUUACCAAUAGGCCGUCCCAAUUGUUAAUUAGACCCUUUCUUGGUUUGCCUUGGCGCAUUUACAGCAAAUUAAGGUGAAACAAUCCGCCCCAAGCCCAAGUAUAUUAUAUACAUUCAACAUUUAUCAUGAAGUAAUCUUCUAUUGUCAAGACAAGUGGUACCUGACAAACUCAGAAAAUGAAUCCGAAUCAUGCGUUCAAUUUAAUUUUUUAGAUUCAUAAUUUGACAAGAAAAUAUUCAUACAAUUAAUUACAAUUGAUAUACAUUCAACGGAACGCACGUAUCAAUGUGUUAAUACAUCCAAAGAUGCAGUUCAUGAACAAACAAAACAGUGGUUGCACAAACACUAUACAUAUACGUACGUACCCUCUUGCACAUAUAUGUCACUAAACCAUCCAUUUUAAAGAAGGAUGUUAUGGCAGUUACUGCCACCCACCAUGAGAUCCAGACCACAUUUCUGUCUUCUCUUGCCAAAGUUGCUUGAUUUGUCCGACUCAUCAUAUAUUCUUAUACAAUUAUCACCUACAUAUAUAUAUAUAUAGGUACAAAAUUUUCUCAUUCUAUAUACUUAAGAGUUUCAAUAUAUAUGCAUGGCCCAGUUGCUCCAGUCAAAGCCAACAUUAAAAGCCGGCCUUUUGUACUUUACACAAUUGUCUUUGCUGAGAUUCCUAGCUAGCUAGCUCUUCCUUCCUCUCACUUCUAUUACUAUCACCCCUUAACUUAUCCAACAACUUUAGUGCAUAGAGAGGGAAAGCAAUGGAGGAUGAUGCUAAGAAGUUGGAAGAAGGCCGUCUUCAUAACAAGGAUGACUUGAUCAGUGAGAGAGUGAAUACAACAUCUGAUCACAAUGGUCGUGGAGAUGCCAUUGACCAUGAUCAUGAGGAGAAGAACAAAGCAGCGGUGGCGGCCGCGCCUCUGGAGGCGGACCAAAUCAAAGGGGAGGAGCAACCAGUACUAGUGGUUAAGCAGAAAAGCAAGAGGGUUGCUACUUUGGAUGCAUUUAGAGGCCUCACCAUAGUGGUAUAUAUUCAUGAUCAACCGUUCCAUUUUCACAGUCUAACAACAUAACAUAUUAUACACAGUGACUUUUCUUAUGGUGUAUGAUUGCUUUGAUCUUGCUAAUUUGUACAUGCAUGCAUGCAUGCAUAUUGUGACAAGUAAGAGAUCAUGUGUAUAUGUGCAUGCAGGUGAUGAUAUUGGUAGAUGAUGCUGGAGGAGCAUACGCACGUAUUGACCAUUCACCAUGGAACGGAUGCACAUUGGCCGACUUUGUGAUGCCCUUCUUCCUCUUCAUUGUGGGGGUCGCCAUAGCCCUUGCUCUCAAGGUUUAAUACAUUAAUAUACACUUCUCCUUUCAAUGUUUCAAUGUUUUUAUAUGUUGGAUAUAUUAUGUAACGCACGACAUCUUAAUCGGUUAAUCCACAAGACAAUAAUCUUUCCCCAAAAUUUUGUGUGUAGGUUUCUAACUUUGUGUGCCAAUUUGAUCACUUUAUGAUAAAAUUUUGGUUUUGCAGAAAAUUCCCAAGAUCAAUGAUGCAAUCAAGAAGAUUAUUUUAAGGACAUUGAAGCUUAUGUUUUGGGGAAUCAUUUUGCAAGGUACGUAAUAGUCCUGUGUUAAGGAAGUAGCUUUCCUUGUCAAGAGGACAAUAAACUUUGCUUAAACAAUAACACAUUGACUUCGCUUAGCUAAGGAGAAUUAAUAAUGUGCCAAAUUCAAAUCUUCUUCCCUAAAAAUAUAUAUUGUUUGGCUCUGGUGUAUGAACUCUCGCUCUCCCAUGUAGUGCAGGAGGAUACUCCCAUGCGCCGGCUGAUCUCUCUUAUGGAGUUGACAUGAAACAAAUUCGAUGGUUUGGCAUCCUCCAGGUGUUUCCCCAAACCCUUUUUUCUUUUCUUUCACAUUGAUGAAACUCACAAGGGCUCACCUGACAUUGUUUUUCUUUCUUGGAUUGUAUGUGUUGGUAAAUGGUAAACAGAGAAUAGCAUUGGUUUACUUUGUUGUUGCUCUAAUAGAGACACUCACCACCAAGUUUAGACCAACUGUCCUUGAGCCUGGCCACCUCUCUAUUUUCACUGCAUAUAAAUGGCAGUGGUAAGUAAACAGACUAAGGUCUUGAAUUUCACUAUCACAUAAGCAAAGUUUAGCAAAUUUAUCCCAGUUUGAAUUUUGUAACUUUGUUCAAUGUGGAUAUCUAGUAUUGAUUUAAAGUACCAUUCUGCAGGAUUGGAGGGUUCCUCGCGUUCCUCAUCUACAUGAUCACAACAUUUUCAUUAUAUGUUCCAGAUUGGAGUUUCGUGGUAGACAACGAUCAUAGAUCGAAAAAAUACUUGGUAUGUAUGUUUGUUUGUUUAAUGACUAAAUGUAGGAAGUUUUCACUUCACCAUGCCUUAAUUUGUUUUCUGCUUUUUUCAGGUUAAGUGUGGGAUGAGAGGACAUCUAGGACCUGCUUGCAAUGCAGUUGGAUAUGUGGAUCGACAGGUCUGGGGCAUAAACCAUCUCUACACACAACCUGUUUGGAGACGCUUGAAGGUUUUAGCUCUUAAUAGCUAUAUAUGUUUGAUGCAGUUGUAUAAUCAGAAAAACUAUUUGUACCCAUCUCUGCAUUACAUUAGCUUUACUCAUAUUUCAAUUGUCGUGCCUUUAAUGAGCGGGAAAAAAAAAACUGAGAGGGAGAAUAAUUGUUAAGCUUUUGUUGUUAUUUUUGUGACAAUUUUGUAGGCCUGCACUCUUAGUUCUCCGAGUGACGGUCCUCUUCGAGAGGGAGCUCCGAGUUGGUGCAGAGGUCCAUUUGAACCAGAGGGCUUGCUGAGGUAUGUUAAUUACAUAAUUAUAAGGAACAAAGAUAAAACGUUAAUCACUGUGCUAGAGACAUGGAUUUAUUUGGUUCUUCUUCUUUCUCAGUUCCAUUUCAGCUAUCCUUAGCGGCACCAUUGGCAUCCAUUAUGGCCACGUUUUGAUCCAUUUCAAGGUUACCCAUCUCUCUAAACUCACAGAUUAGUGCACUUUUUAGUUAUAUUUGGAAAUUCAUUUAGGAUGGUGAAGUUGGAUUCUCAUGCAUGCAGGGUCACUCUGAGAGGCUCAAACAAUGGGUUUCAAUGGGGUUUAUCUUGAUUGUCAUAGCCAUCAUUCUACAUUUCACAGAUGGUGAUCUUCCUUGACCUUUUUGUGCCUAGUUCUUGGCUAUCUUCAUCUGCCUCAGAUAAUAAAUCUUGAAGCAAUCUAUGUUCCAAAAUUAAACUUCUUAAUUUGUCAACUUGCUUGCAGCUAUUCCCAUCAAUAAGCAACUCUACAGCUUCAGCUACGUUUGUUUCACAGCUGGUGCAGCCGGACUGGUUUUUUCUGGAUUUUAUUUACUGGUAAACAAGUUAAAACCUAUCCGAGCUAUCGCUUCUAGUUCAAUUAAAGAUUAAUCCAGGGACAACUAAUGACUAUCAUCUACAUAAACAGAUUGAUGUUUGGGGCUACCGGACGCCGUUUUUGUUCCUAGAAUGGAUAGGAAUGAAUGCAAUGCUAGUGUUUGUCAUGGCAGCUCAGGGCAUCUUUGCAGCAUUUGUAAAUGGAUGGUAUUAUAAAUCUCCAGACAAUUCACUUGUAAGUAUAAUCAAUCCCCUUUAUCAAAAUCAUACUAAAUUUUCCAGCUUUGAUACAAUUUGUCUGGAAAUGUAAUCUAAUUUAGUGAAGGAACCAAACUGUUAACAGGUGCAUUGGAUCCAGGAACAUGUUUUCAUCAAUGUAUGGCACUCAGAGAGGCUGGGAACCCUCCUAUAUGUCAUAUUUGGUGAGAUCUUAUUCUGGGGAGUAGUUGCAGGCAUCUUGCACAAAUUCAGAAUAUACUGGAAGCUGUAGAAGCAGAAAAACAGAAGGCAACAAAGAUUAAAAGAGGACCCAGCAAUUGCUGUAUUUGUGACAUAUCUUACUUUUACCCUUCAUGGGUUCUUUUUCAGUGUGGAUUUCUUUUGCUGUUUUAAGAUUUUCUAGUGAAUAGAUUUUUCAUGGGUUCUUUUGUUUUAUUUGCCUAUUAUACAGAAAGUAGUGUAUAUGUACACAAUUAGUGUUUCAAUCUUUCUAGCUGAACCUAUCUGCACCAGUGAAAGUUGGGGACUUUGUGACCUUAGAGGUUAGAGCCACCUUCUUUACCAGCAAAGGCCUUUCACCUUUUCAUAAAGAGCAUCAGAAAAAAAAAUACUAGUAAAUUGAAAGAAACAACCACAAUAAUAAUGGCCACAACAAGACAACAUGCAUAAAAUAAAACUUACAAGAUCCAAUGGUACUAGGAACCCUACCCUGUCUGUCCUGACCAAGAUGUUCCAAAUUUGAUGGUGAAAUAUUUGAGUAAAAAGGGGUUAAAAUCAGCCUAGAAAGGGACAAGUAAGUAAUAGGGCAACCAUGAAAUAUUGGAGCUUAAAAAAAAGCAUCUAAAGGUAAAAAAUCAUAAAUAAAUAAAAGGCAAUCUCAAAGUUCAUGACAGAGACCUAAUGUUACCAGCAUUAACCUAAUUAAGAAAGAACAAUGAUGAUCUGGAUUCUGGACCGUUGAUAUUUGUAGCAACAAGAAAAUUACCUGUGUGAUGAUUGAAAGUCAUUUUCAAUCAGUACAGAUUAUUUGGCAUGUUGGCUUCACCUUUGAUUGACUUAAAGACCAUGUAGAGAAUAUGUUUCCUGUGAUGGAAUAUAAUCUGCCGACAAAAUAAAUCUACUUAUAAUUUGAUGUAAGCUGAUUUUUUUAUAUAUGCUGAGGCUAAAGACUUUGUCAGCUCUGAUUAAAAAGGAUGAAGACAGGACAGCCAAGAAAACCCAUUCAACCCUUCUGAAUAAAAAUAAAGAACAAUAUUCUUGGGCACUCAAACUUGAUCCAACUUGGGGUGCAUCAAAAGAAUCUGCUUUGAAUCUCAUUUUUUUUAAUAUCUGAUCAAACUUGAGAGAGAGAGUUUUGGCAAUGACAAAUAGUUAUUCUUUAAUUUCUAUUAUAAUUCAAAGUUCAGCCUACAGAGGUAUGUACAACAAAAAAAUAAAGAUAGAGCCGCCUGGAAAUGUUGAACUGCACAAUUUGAUCCAACUGACCAACCACAUCCAUCCAUCACAAGAACUUACUUCUUCAACUAUAAUAGCACAUGAAGGAAAUGGCACCAUAUCUACUUGUUUACAACAAUGUGCAAGUGCCAUGAGAGCUGCACUCUCCUUUUCCAUCUCACUACUGAUUUCUUCUCAUUCUUACUGUACAGAGUUAGUAUGGACAAGCUGUAAUAUAGGAUAUGCAACCUGCUUCGCCUUUUAACGGCAUAUAUCCCGUCAAUUACAUUUAGUGAUGUGGUAAUGGGGAGAAUUCUGCUGUACAGAACAACGCGGGCAUCCAAGAGGAACAACAUUUGCAUUUGUUAUCACUCCCAACCCAUCAACAUCUUCCAAACUUGUUCUUCAAUCUUGUUCCUCGGAACUGACAAGCCAUCCCCUUCAUCAAUCAAGACUCUAUAAACUUCCCAUUCCCUAUCUCCAAUUAGAUGCCGUCCAAUCUUAGCCUGAAAAAAACAAUCAGGAGAGCAGAAGUUACUUAGCCAGAUAGAGAAAGGUAAACAAAGAAACAAUUGGUGCAGAAAAUAAAUUCCAUUAAGACAGUUCAAGAUAGGAAAGCCUGUUUAGUAAGAACCAUAAACCUUUGUUCCAUUUGCUUAUACAUGUAACACAUGAAGAAAACCAAAUUGUAAAAGAGCAUACAAUUUUGUCUGCAAUAUUAAUGUCCUUGGAUCAUACAAAGGAAAGCCAAAAUAUGCCUGUUUGGAAGUACAAAGUGAAGAUCAGGAAGUACCGAAAAGACGCCAGUGUUCAGCAUCUUGAAAGCAAGGGUGAUAUCAUAAAAAACAAGAGGCCGGCCCUUGCCAGAUAAUUCCACAGGGUUUGCAACCAGCAGCUCUGUGUCUGGACCUCGGUUAACAAUAGCUACUCUGAGAGGACGAAGCAGUUCCAGCUGCAAGCGGGAUCUCAAUGCAUUCUGUUUGCUAGGGUCAACUAUCUUCUUUCCAUCAGUUUGCACGAUGAACAAGUCAAUCUCACAGUGUCUUCUUUGUUUUAUAGAGAAGCGGCCAUAAGAGAUCUGGUUCAUCAUAGCAUUCAGAUAUCAUCAUCAGAAAAUUAGAUAUUGUAACCCCAGAAGAUUCUGUUAACCCUCUUAAAAUUUGAUCAAAAUUUUCCAAUACCACAUGUAUGCAUGCCAACCAAGCAUGAAAUGCCGCAAACAAUAAGCAAAUAUGUCCCUUGGCUACUAAUAAUGCAAGAACUAACAACUCAGCCACAUGGAUACAUAAACUAAUCUUAACCCUCAAAAAAACCAAAGCAAGACUGAAACUUAUUCUUUGUAAUGGGCUUCCAUGUCAAGAAUGGAAAAGCAUUCUAGAGGAAAUUAUAACUAAAAAUCUUUUGAAUGCAUUUUAAAUCUUCCGGAAAGAAUGAUGAGAACGGCAAUUUUUCUUGAAAAAGAAAACAGCUCCUUUUCCUAUGAUGCAUAGAGUACAUGACAUCCACUGACCACUCUUGCUUUCUUACAAUAUUUAUUUGAUGCAAAUGUCACAUUACUUAUAUAUCUACCUGAAUAUUGUAAUCCUUUAGCGUUCUCAUUAUAUCAUAAAGAAGACCCUUGUGGUCUUUGCAAAUGAUUUGGACCAGCGUGUGACCAGGACUCAGCGUGUUGUCCAUAGUCACAGAAACACUUCUGGAGGUGAGUGAUCCACUUGGGAGUUCAGCGGGCAUUUCCAAAUCAAACAUGUCUUCGGUAAUUGCAGAUGGAAGAAAUGAAGACCCCUGCGAACAUGCAGUAAUCUCAGGACCAACCAUUUCAAUUUCACAACUUAUCAUGGCAUCUCCCGUGACUGCUUUUAAGUAGUCAGACACCUCCUCCUUUCUCUUAUUUGUAUGCAGAAGUUCCCUGAUAAAGAAACAAAUUCAGAGAUUAAGUCACGUAUAAAGAAGAAUAAGUUUCCUAAUAGAGCAACAUGAGAUGGUGCUGCUCCAAUCUGCAAGUGCUGAAAGCAUUGGAAUGUUUGAAUCAUUCACAUUUUGUAUUUUUUUUGUGCAAAAUAUAUGCCUAUCAAACUUGUACUCAUCUAUGUCUUGCAGUCAAUUAACUUGAAAUUCAAAUUGGGAUUGUUUGCAGCCGCAAGGACCCCAUAGAAAUUACAAGGAAAAAGAAAACAGGAAACCAGAAAAUCACCCAAUAUUAUAUUUAGGAGAAUAUAUCAAGAAAAUAGAACCUGGUGUCUGUGAUGAAAAACAGGUCCAUCACUUUCUCAUCUGGCGUGGUGGAUACCUUAACUUUCUUGAUGGUCAGCUCGAGUUCACAGAGAACCCCUGUCACAUCUGCACAAAAACCAAAAGUACGUAAGGCACCAAUUAAUAACCUUCAAUUUGAUGAUCUUUUAGAAAGAUUAGAAAUAAAAUGAAGAACAAAGCUCCUCAUUCAUAUCAACUACCAACAACUUAGAAAAUUUAAGAAACAUGCAGAUACAAAAACAGAAAUUUACCAUGUAAGAGCCCUCUUCGAUCAUAACAACAGAACUUGAGAAGGAACACAUCAGGAGGCUUUGGUGGCUGCAAUUCAGACCGGUAAAAGGAAAUCCCAGAAGCUGAGGAACAAGAAGGACAGGUCCCCACUAGCCUCUUCUUCAACAAACCCCAUCUUGUCUCUGGACUCCCAAUAACCCAAAACACUAUGUAGCACCAUUUCCCAUCCGUUGAUACAUCUUCAAAACACAAACAGAAAAAGAAAAAAAAAGCAAACACUUUCAGCUUCAAGUACCCAUUUUUCUGUUAGGUUCACAAAAUCUUAUCAAAACCCAAAACACCCGAAAUUUGUUUCACAAAUUCACUGGAAAAUCUCACUUACCCAUGUCUGGUUUAGCAAAAUAUAAGGCAAUUCUCACACACCCAUCACUUGGUUUUAAGAAAAUCUAAAUAAAUUUAAAUUUUUUUUUAGAAAGAGCCUAAUCAAAACGGUUUGGUUGCUGAGGAAAGCAGAGGAAAGGAAAAAGACACAAAAAUUGAAACUUUUAGCUCAACCAAAGCAUUCAAAUUUCUCAUCCUUUCUCUCUCUGCAUAUUCUCAGCAACAAAACAGAAGAUGAAUUAAUUGUAAUAAGCAUGCAAAAGCAGUAACAUCCCAUUUUAGCUGACCUCCUCUGACAAUGCUAAGACCAAAGCAGAGAAUGAUGCGGCACAAGUCACAACCCAAGCCAGUCUUGUCAGGACAAUUUAUUGUAAUCACACUUGGGUCUCCCUCUUUCUCUGCCUGCGUUAUGAUCACUACAUCAUCAUGUAGAAUACCCAUGUCUUCUUCUUCUUCUUCUUGCUCUUCUUCCUGCUUUAGUUGUUGAACAAGGAGAUGUGUAAUUUUUUGGAGCAAUAUUCUUUGCUUUUGUGAGAGGAGUUCACUUGUUUGUGAGCCUGUUGGUUUGAGCAAGGAGCACAGUGGAGACGCAUAAAAAGCAGAAGAUGAACAGAGAGAGAGUUGAGGCUUUUCCUCUCACUUCUCACCUUCUGCUUCACUUGUUCUUCUUGUUGUCGUUGUUUUCUUGUCUUUUUUAUUUUUUAUUUUUUAUCUCUCUCGUGUUUUUGUAGGUCUUGUGAAUCUCACCACGAUAUAUACUGGUUUCCGGAGGAGGGUACUCAUGGACGGGUUGGCGGGUUAGAAGCUCCACCCGUUGUUGCCCACAUCACAAAGUUCAUCUUUAACCUUUUUUUUAUUCCUUUAAAAAUAUGCUCAUAUUUAUUUAAAUUUUUUUAUUUUCUAUUCAGUCUAAAAUUAAUUACUUUGGUUAUUUGGGCUCUUUAUAUUGUCCAAAAAUUAUUGUAUUAUUAUUAUUAUUAUUAUUUUAGAUAUAUGAGAGGACUAAAUGUCCAAAUAAUUUUAAGAAAAAUAUUGCUAGGACAACUUCUAAGGUACUUACCAUAACUAUCUUCAACAAUAAGGAUAGGAAAACCCAACACAAUCAAACUCAAACUUAUUUUCACUUUACAGCAUUAUAAAACACAUGAAUUAAAGAUUUACUCUGUACAAUAUUAAGUCUAUUAGUUUAAUGGUAUUUCAUUUUCAUUUUAUUCGAAGAGGUACAUAUUAGAUUUCAAAUCUCAUAAAUUACAAUCGCUUCUUUACUUGUUGCAUAAAACUUAUACACACUAAUAAAAUAUAUGUAACUCAAAAGAAAUUUUUGAGAAUAAUAAAGAAAACAAAGAUAGUAGGGGCACUUAAGUAACAUUUGGACAAGUAAUUUCAAAGGAACAAAUUUUUUGAAUAUUUGGAAUGCACUCAAAUUUGCAUGCCAACUCAAAAGAUGAGGAAUUGUUUCUUUUUCUUUUUUCCAAGUUGGUGUUCUUAAACACCCUUUUAAAAAAAUUGGAAUUGCAUUGCCAACUUGGUGCCACUGCAGCUCAUCUGAAACGUAAGCAAUCAACAGCAAUAUGAGGUGGCAUCGACACGGUUCAAUAUCAUUGGACCUUGUUGAACUGAGACAGGUCGGCCUAGCCACCUGAAACUCCAUCAACUCAUUUACGGAGAACGUGGAACAAAUAUCAUCUCGCGUGGCGAUAAAUUGGCAUGCAAGUAACAGUGUAACACCAGCCACCGCUCGUGACUUGACUCGGGUAAAGUGCCGAUGCCACACGCGCACAUACGGAGCGUCAGCCGCCAUCACGUGCCUUAUUUUUUGGUUGAUGCGGUCCCCUCACGUGCUUAUCUUAGCGGAUGCUUCAAGAAAACUUCCUUUGUCAAUUCCCGCUAUCUUUCCCCGCUUGGUAAUUUUAAUCAGUUCCACCUAAUCAUCUUCGUUUUUAAAAAAAAGUGCUCUUUAUCCACCUCCAAGAAUAAGGAGUUCAUUUUUUCUGAGUAGAGAGAAAUGAUUCUUAGUAUCUUUUUAUAAUUAAAUAUUACUUUGUUUAAUGUUUAUUUUAAAAUAUUAAUUAAUAUUAACUAAUUUUUUUUAAUAGAGAUGGACUAUUAAAAAAAAUUCUUGUAUUUAUGACUCUCUAAAUUAAAGAAUAUGAUUAAAGUUUAAAAUUUAUAAACAGCUCCUAAAAUAUAUAUAUAUAUAUAUAUAUAUUUAACUAAAUUUUAACUAAAAAAUAAAUAGCAUAAUUAUAGAUGCUUUAAUUAGUGUUUCAUCUAUCAGAUGUAAUUUGCUUUAUUUAUUAGUUUUCUGAUUACCUUUUUGAGGAAAUUUUUGUAGCUUUUUAAUUAAUGAAGUUAGUAUCUUUCUAUUGCAUAUAGUGAUAAGACGAGAAUCCAAGUCUUGUUCUAGACUCAUAAAUUCCACAAAGUUGUUUGUGAUUAAUAAGUGUCCUAGUGAGUAUGAAGAAUUAUAGAGGGUUGUUUGAAAUGAGUAUCAUAAUAUGAAUCUAGCAAUCAACGAAUCAUGAUCAUCGAUACAUCCUUAAACAAUUGUAGUUCAAAAACCUAUUAAAGGAGAAAUAUGGAGUUAUUACUCUAACAUCUCCUGAGGUUUUCGACUUUUUCUUAAAACUCCUUAAGGUUUUAGAAAUUAUGCAAACACUCCCUGAAGUUUUAAAUUAUUUUCACAAAACUCUUUUUCAUUGAUUUUUCAUCUAAAGAUUGAUGAUUUUAUAAUAUAAAAAUUCUGCAAAUGACAAAGUUGGCUUUCGAGAUUAGAUUGCAUAUAUUUCAUUGUGGUUAAUUUUGUCAUUUGUAUAAAUUUAUAAAUAAAAUCAUCAUUUCUUAAAAGGAGUGUAAGAGUGAGUGAACCGUUGAAUUUAUAUCCAACGGUGAGUGACCACAAAUCUCUUGGACCCCUGUAGUCCAAGAGAUCCGAAGAUCAGCAGUUCAACCUGUUGAUCUUGGACCACAGGAGUCCAAGAGAUUGUGGUCACCCACCGUUGGAUAUUAAUCUAAUGGUUCAAAAAAGUUUCUUAAAAGCAUGGCUAACGUACUAAGCUCUCAUGGCUAACGUACUAAGCUCUCAUGUUUCACGUACUAAGCUCUCAUGUUUGAACAUGACUGUUAACAAAAGAGAGUUUUGUGAAACAAACUAAAACUUCAAUGAGUGUUUGUGUAAUUUUUUAGACCGGAUGAAUAUUUAUAAAAACACAAGAAACGUCAAAGAAUAUUAAUAUAAAUAACUUAUAUAUGGACCGCAUCACUGGGCACCAUCUAGUUAUUUAAAUAAGAAAAUAUGUAAAAGUUUGAAUUUUUUUUUAAUAAUGAAAAAAGAAAAAAUAUUUAAAUACCUUUUAAAUAAAAAGUGAACUUUACAUAGAAAUGCCUUGAACUUGGAAAAGAAAAUGGUGACACCUCCUGAGUAAAGGAGUGAGGUCAGGUGCACCAUGUCAUCAAUCUUGGUAGAUAAUAAUAAUUUGAUUAGUAAAUAAAUGGACGGCCAAGAUGGGCUUGAAUCUUUCUAAAGUGCUUGCGCAUUGAAAAUACCAAAAGAGCAUUGUGAAAAAUAUCCCUAUUCUAAUUGAGUUGCACAGAAAUUGCAUUGAUAUUGUAGUGCGCACAUGGUAGGUAUCGGAAUCUUUUUGCCAUAGAUUAUUUCUAAUUAAAUUUUCCCCUUGGUAGGUAGAGUAAUUUUAUCAAACCAACCCAACUCAAGGCAUCAUCUAUCUCUAAGGAUGAAUCAAAAAUUUAUUAACGAGUGGACUAACUAAAAUUAUUAGUUUAAAAUUUUAAUAAUAAUUUUUUUUUAUACUUAUAAUUAUUAUUGUCUUUCUAGAUAUAAAAAUACACAUUAAAUCAUGUAAACUAUGCUAGUUCCUCGAGUACAAAGUUAAAUGCUAAAUUCCCAUAAGCUUUACAAUAAAACAAAUACAAAUUAAAUGCAAUUAAAAAAUACAAAUUAUCAAAAUAAAAAUAUGUUCAGCAAUAUAAUUGAAAGUGUACAUGUUUUCAUGUAUAUUUUUAUUGAUGCCUUGCAAUUAAAUUCAUAAAGAAUUAGACUUUAAUAGGUCAAUAUAUACUUGACUAUAUUUAAAACAAGUGAAAUAUAUAAGUUUGAUUUAUUUUAUCCUCAAAAACCUAGUUCCACCCAAUCUCACACAAAUAAAUAAUCGUUAAUCGUAAAUUUAUGUGCGUCUAACACGACUGGUUUAAACGUUUUUCAAUCCAUUAAAAAGUAUGAAUUUGCUUGCAAGUAUGUUGGAAUGGUAGGAGAUGAGAAGAUAGUUAGUUUAGCUAUCAUUACCAACACAACACACUAAAUCCUGAAAAAGAUGGUUUUCUUACCCUACAAUCCAUUGAAUUAAGCUUUGAUAAACUAUAUAUCUAUAUCGACGUGAACAUGGUUGAAAAGACUCCCUAACUUAUACUCCCAUGGAGAUCCCAUGGAGAUAGAGAUCUUCUAGUACUCCAAAAAUAGCCCUGUGUGUCGCAGAUAAAGGCUACAAAGCCGACGGUGGCCAAGUAUCCCACGUUACAUGCCUCAAAUUGGACUAUCUUGCAUCGUACGUAGUCAAUACAACCAUCAUUAGAAAAAUAUUUUCUUACAAUAAUUAACUAGCGCGGGAGAUAAAGACUUAAAAGUCUUUAAUCACGUGAAAGAGACCAGUAGUUCUUCCCUUGGCCUUGGUUUUGGGUUUUACAAUAAAGUCAUUGUUGGUGUUGUUGAUAGCUAAUUGGCACUUGUCCUCUUUAGGAGAGGAGAUGGAGACAACCCAACCAGUGGCUCUGUGGGAGGUUGCUUUCUUCUGAGCAGUGAGCCCUCACUUUUGGCAUGUUCAUCUACUUAUGGCUCAGUGAUUCAUAGACUGCGUCGUGGUAUUUUCCUAUGUUGGCUAAGCAUAUCUAGGAUCUUGAACUUGAGAUAUCUCCCCCACCUAUGUGUUUAUGGCUAAGUGGAUCACAAUCAAGUGAUAUGAUUGCAUCCGUGACUAGUUUCCAUAACCUAGCGGCCGUUAACAUAGUUGAAACUGUCUAAAAUGAUUGGUAAUUUUUAGUUGUUGAUGCAUCAAUUGUGUAGGGUUAAUUAUAGUUGACUCCCAAGUUAUCUAUGCGAGCGUGGAUGAUUACUCCAAACACUGUUAAUUUCAAUUUAUAUAAAUUGAAAUCAUUAAAGAGUUGCAAUACGAAUCAAACACUCGUGUGUAUGUCUCUCAAUCGUUAAUGUAUGAAUCAUUUACAAUUACUUAAUAGUUGAUACAUGAGUCACCGUGUGCGCGUUAAUAAUUCAUAAAUUUAAUAGUUAAACAAGUAUAUUUGUAUUGGAUACAAGUUGUAAUAUAGAAUUAGCAGUGGGGCUUGUUGUUGUGGUAUGAACACACUUCACUUUCGGCAAUUUAAGUGGGGUACUGCUCAAUUUUGGAAAAUUGAGGAAGAUUCAAUGCUCCAAGUUAUGUUUAUUCGCAUAUUAGGGUUUAAUAUGUUAUAUUGGAUAUUGAUGACGGGAAAGAUCCUGGUUGAAAAAAUUGUCCAGUGGCCGGUUGCGUUGUCGGGAGGCAUGCGUGAGUCCUGACCUAACCAUGCAGGUCUCAGAUAAUGACUUGUACAAGUGUGUGCCCGGGGGUGGCUAGCUUUAGCCUCUGGCAUUCUAGUUUAGCCAUCCAAUUUUAUUAAUAGUAUGAGGAAGUAGUUUCCAUCAAAGACAUGACAUUAAAAAAUUUAAAUAAAAAAAAAGCAUUCUAGAUCAUAUAUUUAUUUUAAAUAAAAUCCAUGUCCAUUUUUGUUAGAGAUCAUAUCUGAUUGAAACUGCUUUAUAAGGAAGCAUUUCUGCAUAUACAAGUGAUUUUGCUAGAACCGUUGGAACAAGCAAUAUUGAAGUUCUUAUUAAAAAUUUAAGUGUUAUCUGACAAAGUACUUGGAAGUGUUUUCUGAAAACAUUUGUAUGAUUCAUAAGCACUUGUAAGUUUUUAUGUCAAACUUUUUUAAAAAUACUUUUCAUUAUCAGAAAGCACUUUUAACUCUUCUAAAAAUCAUUCCGAAUUUUUCCUAGUGUGUUUUUCAAUGUAACACAAAUUAAGCACAAACAUAUCACAUGAGUAUAAUUAGUGGUGUGGGAAAAUAAUGAAAAGCAAGUCGAGAGAGUUGAGUCAAAUUGUGGAUGUGAAGAGGUUAAGGCCUGACGUAAUCAAAGGGGUAGAAAACUAUAACUAGGAGAACUUUAAAGAUAGUGGGUGGAGGAGGAUUCCUUAAGAAGAAGAUGCAAGGAGAUGCUGUAGGGAGAGAAGAGAAUAAAAGAUUGGAGCGGCUGAGAGGACAUGGCACAAAACAAAACAAGUGGGCAUGGCUUUGUAUAGUGACAUAAUACUCUCUCUCCUUUUUUUUUUUUUUUUUUUUUUUUUAAGGAGAGAGGGUCGUAUUAGGUUGAAAAGCUAUGCUUUACUUCCUUGGUGUUACUACCUUAUUGGAGUUAUUGGCUAUAAAUAAUUCUGAAUCCGUUUGUUUUAUUUUCUUUUUGCAUUAGUGAAUUAUGCCAGUUGGUCAGGGGAGUGAGUCCGUUCCUUUGCACUCAAGUUCGAGUUUUUCUUCCCGUAAAUUAAAUCAAUUUAUCUAAACCGGCCAACUCAAGUUCAAGUCAAGACUGUUAAUUAGUUGGGAUCAGAAACCAAAUUUAAUCCAACCAAACUAAAAGAUGCUGAACUGAAACCUGACAUGUGAGUUACUUUUUUAAUUCAGAUUUUCUAUUUGGUCAGACUUGUUUUAAUUCAGAUUAACGUGCAUGCUCAACACAUUCGCACAAAUAAUUUAACAUUUGUUUUUUUGGUACAAACGAGAGCCAAGUGGGAGAUAAUAUAACUGUUUUAUGCAUUUCCUUGCUUAGGACAUCCUAUAUAGAAGGUCCAUAUCAUGAACAGUACUUUGCCUUGGUUAAGUUUCCUUAUUUUUUUAGGGUGAACUUGGUUAAGUUUCCUUAUUUUUUUAGGGUGAACUUGGUUAAGUUUCUUUGCACAUGCUAGAACAUGCAUCUUUCACAUGAUGCAUCAUUACCUGCUACUUCUCACACAUGGCUUUCUUCUUCCCUCUAUUUCUUCUGGUCAAAGCUCUUCAAUAAGUAAAUGACAUUCUUUUCCCUUCCCACAAGUAACCAAGUCAAGACUGACCUAAUCAAUGAAUAAACCCACCCCACAUUCAAAAUUCACCAUCAAGACUGGGCCAUAAAUCUUUGGUUUUCCUUGGCAGGCAAGCAAGUAAGAAAGAAUCACACCAAACCCAAGCAAAACCCUAAAGAAUUUUUAACAGCUGUGGCUAAACACUUGGGCUUCAACUGAACCAUCCAUGGAUCCCAUUGGCCAAUGCUUGACUGUCCCUUAAACUACUUUACAGCAAAGUCAUCUCCAUUUUCUAACACUCUCAGCUGC
RNAcentral lists this long non-coding RNA (66180 nucleotides) under Prunus persica (peach). RNAcentral's name for it is "long non-coding RNA (PPER_LNC007394)". Lineage: Eukaryota; Viridiplantae; Streptophyta; Magnoliopsida; Rosales; Rosaceae. The record is from RNAcentral.